Molecule: long non-coding RNA, 56718 nt
Filed under: Brassica napus (rape)
Lineage: Eukaryota; Viridiplantae; Streptophyta; Magnoliopsida; Brassicales; Brassicaceae
Description: long non-coding RNA (BNAP_LNC018517)
Source: RNAcentral
UGUGUAUUUGAGGUCGAUGACUCAAUAUGUUCGAUCAGAUUGUGGCAUGGCCGAUGGUAAAGAAGAACCAACUAUCAUGUUCGAGAACGAAGCAUAUUCUGCCUAAGAUCUUCAUCACCCACGGAUUGCAGAAAAUUGGAGAGGUCUAAGGGACCUUCAGUAAUGUCCAAAUCAAGGGGAGUAAUAUGUGUUGUACUCUUUUUCCUUCGCCAUGGAUACGCAUCAGGCCAUUUAGUGAGCAUAGAUAUCCCCUAUCACAAUUAUUAACGGGCCAAGAGCCAGACAUACCCCAUCAUAAGACAUUUGGAUGUGCUAUCAUCAGAUUGUGGAUGGCUCAUAACCAAGAGAUUAUGAUUUGUAAUCUUUCCAUUUAUCUAUAACGGUGUAAUCUCCUAUAUAAGGAACCUCAGUGUUAUGAAUAAAGAUAAAUUUUUCCGUUACUUUUAUACCAUUCUUCUGACAUAUCAAUCAAGUUAUUUUACAAAAAUAUAAACAACUUUAUAAUUUCGUGAAGAGUAAGUAUUAAUCCACCAACUAUUAUUCAUGUUCUUAUCUGCCUACUUAUAUAUAUGCCUUAAAUGGCAAGAAUACUUAAGAGGGGUUAUUGGUUUAUAUAUUUUGAUUGAUUUAAAAAUCUAUGUAUUAUUUAUAAAUCCAAGUAAAAUAUACAGAUUUUUAAAUUUUUUCGGAUUAAUAUUACAAAUCUGGAGGUCUUCCCUCGGAUUUGAAAGCACCAACAAAUUUGAUGUCCAAGAAGAGACACAGUCAAGUUCCUACAGAGUCAAUGGGUUAUUAGUUGUUGUAUUUUAAUGGAUUUGAAAAUCCGAACCAAAUCUAGUGUUAUUGGUUCAAUAAUUUUUAAAUCUGUAUUCAAAUCAUAUGUUAUUGGUUUAAUGAUUCAUAAAUUCUAUAUCAAAUCAAGUGUUAUUCAAUCUUACGGAAUUACUAAUAAAUUUGAUUUUAUAAUGGAUUUUAAUGGAUUUUUUUGUUAAAAAUACAAAGACUCAAAUUUGAGGGAAAACCUCCGGAUUAAAAAAAUAAUAAAGCUGGUAAAAGAAUGGUAAAAGAAAUAGAAUGGAAUCAACCAUCAAUGUCUUGGCAAGAUCCUCGGACUAAAGAAUGUGAAAUAGACGUCCAAAGAUUAUACAUUUACAAAGCUAGCUAAUCAAAUGCCAAACACAUUUGCGGACCCGAAAAAGAAUGACUAAGUCAUAUAUAAACCAGCUUGUAAAGCACCAACAAAUUUGAUGUCCAAGAAGAGACACAGUCAAGUUCCUACAGAGUCAAGACAACGUAUGAAACUUGGUAGACCAAAUAGGUUCCAAAAGAUAAGAAUCCUCGGAAACAAAAGAAAGGUGCAGAGAAUGAUAAUCAAAAUCCAAAUCCGAGGUUACUAAGGAAAUCAUCCUAUACAUGGAGAUAAGGCCGGCCGGCUCUAAGGUAUAGGUACCAAACAAUGUAGCUAGGGACGCCAAGCUGCAAAGUAUUAAAGGUCCUGAUAAUAAUGAAUCUCAAUCGAUUAUAUCAUGUCUGGAACAUAGUGGAACCAAUAAGGAAUAUCGACAUAAGAUGAUUUAUUUGCAUACAAGGUAGCACUUGAAUUUAUGAAUAUAGGCGAGGAUCAUGAACCCACAUCAAAAUAAGAGUGUGCACUCAUAGAACAGAUUGGAUUGAAUGGAAACGUGGGGUUAAAUAGUUUAAGGAAGAAAGACGUAUUUGGCCAUAUGAUUAAGACGCCAUAUGAUGUUAAAUCAGUGGAUAUAAAUGGGUCUUGUGAGUAAUAGAAAUCGUGAGAUAUAAAGCUGAUGUUGCACAAAGAUUCUCACAAAGACCAAUAAUAGAUUAUGAGGAGACAUACUCUCAUGUGGUGGAUGCAACUACUUUUAGAUUUCUCAUAAGUCUGGCUAUAUAAGAGAGAAAAUUAGACUUGCAGCAAGUUGAUGUAGUGACUGCAUAUUUAUAUGGUCCACUGGAUAAUGAAAGUACUACAAGGUAUAACCUCCGGAUUUGUAAAUACUAAUCCGAAAAAAUUUAAAAAUCCACUCUGAAUAUCCUAGGAACCUCUGGAUACAAUUUCCCAAACAGUUGGCAUGGAUUUCUAAAUCAAUCAAAAUAUAUAAACCAAUAACACCUGCUCAGUCUUUGUAUUUUUAACAAAAAAAUCCAAACAAAUCCAUUCAAAUCCAUUAUAAAUCAAAUUUAUUAGUAAAUCCAUACGAUUGAAUAACACUUGAUUUGAUUAGAAUUUAUGAAUCAUUAAACCAAUAAUACAUGAUUUUAAUACAUAUUUGAAAAUCAUAGAACCAAUAACACUAGAUUUAGUUCGGAUUUUCAAAUCUAUUAAAAUACAACAACCGAUAACCUCCACUUAGUUACACGUUCUUGGCUGCUUAUAUAUAUGCUUUUUUUUUUUUUUCAACAAACGGUUAUUUUAUUACUCAAACUUAAGGUGGUCUGGGUAACCAGACCAGAAUAGAACAACCAAUAAAGCAAAGAGAUUUAUAAAAAGAACAAACAUUCCUAGUUAGAAAAUCACAAUUUCAUUUUGCAUCCUUGUGAAGUAGCUGAUCUUGAAGUCCGGAAAACACAUCUGGAGAAUUUGAAUGACCUCCAGCUCAGUUUAGAAGUUUGGCCAAGCUUGUGGAUCCGUUAUCAUUGCAAUCAGGUCCUUGCAAUCUGUCUCAAAUCUCUGACAGGUCGAAUAUUGUAGCAUGCUCUCCAUUGCCCAUCUUAGCGAUUCCAGUUCCGAGUGUAAUGUUGUCUCACGCCUCCUUAAGUUUCGUUUCCCCAUAAGUUGGAUCUUUCCCAUGCUAUCCUUUCAAACCCAUCCAAUUCCACUAAAUUGAUAUGUGGAGGUCCAUGAGCCAUCCACCGUACAAAAAUUACCCAAGCUUAAGGCUUGUGUUUCUUCAGCAAUUUGUGCUUGUGGAGGAGAAAUUAUAGUAUCCUUUGCAUUUUACAAUGUCUGGCACUCACUCUCUGCAUACCUGACUAGCUCCAACGGAUCCUGUCUAUACCUAUGAAUAUCUUAUCAUUCUUAGCCUUCCAAAUGUACCAGAUUAUCCAAGGAUAAGGGUCUCUAUCAUCUUCUGGCUCCAUAAUACUAUUCCUCCUCCAAAAAGAUAGUCUAAAUUGGCAUAGAUACCCGAGAUAGGGAAAGUUUGAGAGCUUGACGGUAUUGAUGAUAAUGCCCAUGCUUGUAAGGCCGGUGGGCAUUCGAAGAUCGCAUGAGUAACAGAUUCUUCUGGUUCUCCAUAUCUUGGGCAGUAGUUAUCACAUCGCAUAUUGCGGCGUACCAGAUUUCUUGUGACCGCUACCUGCCCUGAAAUUAAUUGCCAAAUAAAAUGACAAUUAUUUUGUGGUGCAUUCACCUUCCAAGUAAAGACUUGAAGUUUGGUUAUACUGGGCUCUAGAACUUCUUUUUCUCCGUCAUCUGUCUGUAUAUUUUGUAGCUACCCAAUAUCCAGACUUGACUGUAUAUAUACACUUUGAAAAGAAAUAAUACUUAGUUACUAUAGAUUUUUGUUAAGAUUUUGAGCUUGCAAUUUUAGUAGGGGUUAUUGGUUGUUGUAUUUUAAUUGAUUUGAAAAUCCGAACUAAAUCUAGUGUUAUUAGUUCUAUGAUUUUCAAAUCUGUAUUAAAAUCAUGUGUUAUUGAUUUAAUGAUUCAUAAAUUCUAUAUCAAAUCAAGUGUUAUUCGAUCGUACAUAUUUACUAAUAAAUUUGAUUUUAUAAUUGAUUUGAAUGGAUUUUUUUAGAUUUUUUUGUUAAAAAUAAAAAGACUCAAAUCCGAGUGAAAACCUCCGGAUUUGUAAAUACUAAUCCGAAAAAAUUUAAAAAUCUGUAUAUUUUACUUGAAUUUAUAAAUACUACAUGAAUUUUUAAAUCAAUCACAAUAUAUAAACCAAUAAAACUAAUUGAUGUUUUUUAACUUUUUUCCUUGAAAUAAUUAUGUGUAUAGCAAUUAGUCUCGACAUAAUCUAUCAUACCUUCUUCGAAAUAAAGUUUCUUUUUUACUAGCUAUUUCGACGAAAUUGAGUCUUCCUUAGACCAUCAAUUAGUUGAUGAUCGAGCCACUUUCCGAGUAGAAUUAAUAGGUCCGGAUGUAGGCCCGCUUUGAUAUCAUUUGAAAAUUCAAGGGUUUCGGACUUUAAACCAAGCGAUAACUAGAUUGGCCCAAAUCUUUUAUAUAUUACUUUAGUUACUUUCGUAUUUUCAAAGUAAGAUUUUAUCUCCAAAAGUUUUAGACAUUAGUCUUUAUUUCAAUUCAAAACUAUCUGAUUACAGAAAAACAAAUAAAGAACGAUUAUCUUUUGCUUUUUUGGUAAUAACUUGUCAAACAUAUUCAAAGCCUUAGAGAAUGACAAAAAAAUACAAACGGUUUCAAAACUGUAAUAAAAAAAUUAUAGAUUAAACAAGAUUUGACGUGGAAGCACCCUUAGCCAACUGAUUAAGGUUUAAAGGUUUUUACACGUAGGUCCGGGGUUUGAAUCCCACACUAUGCAAUUUCUUGCAGAUUAUAUGAUACGAAGCUUAUCGGAGGUUCAAGACUACUAAAUGCAGAACUGUUUGUUGUGGUCAUCUUCUGCGGAGAGAUCUUGUCUAUUGAGGAUGUCGAACAUGUAGAACUAUCUGUCGAUCUAAGUGUUUCGGAAGAGAUUCAUAAUAGAAUCAUUAUUCGUAGAGUUGUUCAUCAAUAUUGCUUUUGUAACAUGUAGUUGAUCAUCAGAACUAAAUAGAGUUAUGAAAUUAUACGUGAUAUGUAUUAUCCAGUGUUGAAAAAAAAACAGGAUUUAAAAGGUAGAAUAAGAUAUGAAAUUAAUGUAUUUAUUGAGAUGGUGUGAACAGAAUUUAAAGGAGUAAAAACUAACAAAAGUAAUAAAGGAUAUAUAUAGCCUUUAUAAUAGUAAAAAAAGGAAUUUAUCCAAUGUUGAUCAUCAUCUUGACAAAUUCAUCAUAAUUGACUUGACCAUCACCAUCCAGAUCUGCCUCCUUAAUCAUUUGUUCAGCUUCUUCAUCGGUUAGCUUUUCCCCUAGAUUUAUCAUUACAUGACUCAACUGCAAUAACAAAGCUUGUUACAUUAAUAAAAUAAAUCACGACAUUUUCUUAGUUGUAAAUAAGCUCAAUCUGAAGGCCCGUCCAACGUUUCCGAAAGUUCUUUCCCCAAAAACAAUUAUCUCUCUUCGGAUUUGAGUUUUGUUUAUCCAUGGCUAAGUGUGCUUUGUAUUGGGUGUUUCACCACUGAUCGACCACGGACGACGUAUAAAUGAAAUUGAGCGUCUUAUAGAGACUAUAAUAGUCUUUCUGCUACAAAUAACAGUUGGUCAAAUAUGAUCUUUAAAAACAUCGUGAACAUAAUGCUUUGUUAAAUAUAUAUAGUUCUUAAACAACAUAACUUGUUUUGGCCUAAGCUUGACCAUAAGCUUCGAAUAAACGUGAAAUUUGAUCAGUCCAGCCUAUAUAAUACUAGAAAAAAAUUGCUGCAUGAACUCCAGCUUAUUAUUUUGUAAUUUUGUAAAAAGUUGUUAGACAUGCUCAGGUGAAAUGAACUAUUAGCUUCUACUUAAAAGAAUGCUAUUUAAAUUGCAAACCCUGUUAUUAAGAAAUUUGUAUAUACUUCCUCCAUUUUUUUAUAAUUGACGUUUUAGAAAAAUAUUUUGUUUUAAAUUAGAUGAUGUUUUCAAUUUUAAACAUGAAAUAUAUUAUUAUUUUGUGUUAUAUAACCAUUUAAAUUCUGCAGUCUAUUUCGUUAUGAGUUAAUUUAUUGUUAGGUGAAUAAUUAAUAGUUUUGUUUAAAAAUAUAUAACAAUUAAUGGCUUAUUAAUCUAUGUGUAUAACAUAUUUUAGGAGUGCAUGCAAAAUGUGCAAAUAUAAAAAAAAAUACGUAUUAUGUAACUUUUAGGGAUGUAAGCAACCACUUUUUUUUGGUCAAACAAACACAUAUUUAAUUUUAAUUAAACUAGGUGAAACAUGUGCUUUCCUGUUCCAACAAACCAAUCGAUUCAAACGCAUUCUACUAUCUACAUGUAACUAUUUCCCAUUAAUUAUUUUUCCCUCGUUCUUCUGCAAAGAUUCACAAUGCCAGCUAGCUGUAAGUCUUCACGAUGUAAAACAGAAUUUCGAAAAUAUAAUAUCAAAUAACUAAAUAGCUACUAUUGUUAUUUUAUCAAAAAAUGUUAAGAUCAUAAAUGAGACAAAUAUGGAUCUCUUUUUCUGAAAAAAAGAGACAAAUAUGGAUCUCUUUAAAUUCAAAGAUUGUCUGGCCUUGUUGUCUGAUUUUUGUUAUUGUUAUUAAAUAUGUCCAAGUCUGUUUAAUUUAGCUGUAUUUUUCAUCUGUCUGCGUUUAUAAUGCAAAAUUAAUUGAACAAAUGGGUCUAUAAACUUAUGAUGGUUAGCCGGAUUUGACAACAUGAAAAUAUAGAGCAUGUACCACUUAAGCAGCUACAACAUUUUAUGAAAUUGGUUCAUGAACGCAAUCAAAAUCGACAAAAACUCAAUUUAGAUAAGGAUCUAAAUAAUUAUGUCUCUAAUCAUUUAUAACAAAAAUACAGUUAGACCGUACAUGCUAUUAUUGGAGAACGUUGUACAAAAACGCAAUCCAGUGCAUUGAACUAAUUGUUUAUUGUUUGUAUACUCUACUUAAAAUAAAUCAAGCACAUAUGUAUAAAAAAGACGGCAUCAAGUUUUAAAAUUAUUUUUCUCAAAAAAAAUAAUACUCAAGUUUUAAAAUUUUAAAAUAAAGAGAAAAAUAAGAGUCACGGACCUCACUGGCAGAUAUAUAACCAUUUUGGUCUUUGUCAAAGACUUUGAAAACUUCUUUAAGCUCCUCUUCUGCGUCACUUUCCUAUACCAUCACCACAACAACAAAUUAACAAAUAAAAUUGUUAUAAAAUAUAUAGUCUCUUUUUAGAAUAUAAAAACAGAGAUCUUCUCAAAUCAGAGUUGUUACUUGUUUUUUUGGUACAAAAUUUGUUACUUGUUAUGAUGAGUAGAGAACAAGUAAAUGCAUAGAAAGAUGAGAAAAUACUUGAUGUGAUCAAAUGUUUAAAAAUAUAAGAAACUAAUAUGCAGAAGUAUAAUGAAUGAGAUAGCUCCAUUUUUUGUCAAAAAAAAAAAAGAGAUAGCUCCAUUCUUCACAAAGAAUCAGAAAUGAACGUAAUUAAUAUAUGGAGAGAUAAAGAGAGAGGAACCUGAAGUUUCUUGGCCAUGAGGUUCAGAAACUCAGCAAAUUCAAUGGUGCCAUUGCCAUCAGAGUCGAUCUCAGUGAUGAUAUCUUGAAAUUCUUGUUCUGUCGGAUGCUGAUCUAAGGAACGAAUGACUAUUGCAAGGUCUUCCACCGUUAUACAACCUAUUAUUUGAUUAUAUUCCAAAACAACAAUAUAGAUGUCACACCACAUAUCAAUUUUCCAAAUUUUAUCUAUAUAAUCAUCUAGAGGAAGCAAGACAGAACCGUCGCCGUCUUUGUCGAAGAGACAAAAAGCCUCUUUGAACCCAAUGAUCUCAUCUUUUGUCAGUGCUAUCUUUUCCAUUGUUUUUUGGGAAUUUUUUUUUUGAGAGAGAGAGAGAGAGAGAGAGAGAGGUUUUGAUGAAUCUCUGAUUUGUGGUCUAUUUGUAGAGUCGUUACAAGAACUUUCUUUCUUCUUUUUUGCACCAAAAACUUUCUUCUCUGGACUCAUGUACUUUUUCAACUAUUUUUUAAAUUAAACUUCAAAUCAUUUUAAGUUAUUUGAACAGAAAAAAUGUUAAAAAGGAAAUUUUAUUUAUUCAUUUUUUUUUAGAACUCUUGUACUAAAUUUUUUAAUUCUUUUUUUAUUAUCAAAACACGAAGAAACAAUAAAAACAACAACUGCGCUAACAAAAUAGGAACAAAUAAGUAAGAUACCAGAUACUACUUGCAAACAUUUAAGAAACUAGAUGUCGCUUUCAGGUCUAGGGAAUCAAAUUAUAAUAGACCAUGGAUAUCAUUCAUAUUAAUGGUAUAAGGUCAAAUACUUAUAUUUCCAUGAAUAUGAAUCACUGAUAUGAGAUAAGGCAGACAUGGUUCAUAGAAAUCUUGUUUUUACUUUGGGAAAGCUAGGGAUACUUGUAACAUCUCAAAAUUUGAUACUUGUAACAUCUCAAAAUUUCAAAUCUAAAAUUGUUUGGAUUUUAAAGCGAAAGCUUUUAAGUACAUAGUCUGUUAGGGUUAAACCUACGGUUUUUCCUCUUUUUUAUAAAUAAAUCUUUACCACCUCUAUUUUCUUCCGUCACAAAUUCAUAACGAAGCCCUGCAGAGAUCAAGAGAGUCGUUAGGCCUGGGUGUUCGGGUACCGUUGGCAUUCGGGUCGGGUUUUUCGGGUUUUCGGGUUUUCAGGUUUAUGCUCCUAAGUCCCCUACUAAAAUUUUAUUAGUAUGGGUCGGGUUCGGAUAAUAACACUUCGGGUUCGGUUCAAAAUUAUAUUGCGUCCUAAAACCCAUAAAGUAAUCAUAUAUCGUACAGAUUCGGUUUAUAUCGAUUCGGUUCAGAUAUAACCGAAGUAAAAAACAAAAACUUUGAAGCAAAACAUAAAAAAAACAUCUAAAUUAAAUAAAAAAUUAAUCUGUCACACAUAAAAUUGAUAAAAUAACAAUAAAAUAUUAAAUCAAGCAUGAAAACAAAUAUCAUUAGUAAACAAUAUGUAUUGCCUUAUAGAGAGUAGACUUUUUAUUUUAAUGAAAAAAUUAUAAAAUACUUAUUUAUAGCUAAUUGUGUACUUAAAGCAUAUAUUAAAAUUUUAAUAUUUAUUAUUAUAUAUCAUAUUACCACAAAUAUUGAAUUUGAUAAUUGAAAUACUUAUAUAUAUUUCAAAAUAUAUAUAUUGACUAUUAAUUUCAGACUUUUCGGGUUACCCGUUCGGGUUCGGUUAAUGACAUUUCGGGUUCGGAUAUUUCUGUACCACCCUACAAGAUCCAUUCGGAUAUUUUUACAUUUCGGAUUGGAUAACGGGUCGGGUUUUUUGGUUCGAGUUCGGUUCGGAUUUUGGGUUGCGGAUUUUAUGCCCAGGCCUAAGAGUCGUCAUGCUCUCACUCUCUCUUUCUCUCUCUCUCUCAAUUAAAAAAUUGCACUUCAUAUCAAUUAAAAAUUAACUUGUAAGUUUUUGUUUAAUAUUUUUACAUUAGUUCAAAAAAAGAUGAUUAAAAUGAUAAUAAAUACAUUGGAUUAGAAAUAGAAAAGCGUCUAUUAAACUAUGAUAAGAUCCAUUAUCCCAGCCUGAAAACUGAGAAAAUUUACCAAUAUCUUAACUGUUUGCUAAACUUAUAAAGCAGACACAAACUUCCAAAACUGGGGAAAAUUACCAAUAUUUUAACUGUAUGUUAUUGUAUGUAAAUAUCUACAUGGGACCGGUAGAUGCAACGAUCUUCGUUCCAAUGAGAGUUGAGUUUUUAGAUGAUGUUGCGAUGUCACAUGUUAUUGUGAUUAAUCGUUCGUUUCCAGAGGUUCAAGUGCGAUGAGAGUCUCUCAUAGAUUUGAUCGCAAGUGGCAUUUUUGAUAUUUUACAUAACUCUUUAUCAAAUUUUUAUAAGUUUGUGUUUCUAUCUUUAUUUUAUCUUCUUUUAUAUGUUUAGAAGUUAGCCUUGGUUCGUACAUCGUAGCUUGUAUGAUGUUGCUAUUAUUCUUGUAAUUGCUUGAACCUAUUAAUUAAAAAUUUAGUGCACCCAAAAAAAGAUCCAUGAGCCAAGAGAGUUUUCAUUUUUCAGGAAAUUAUAAGUUUUGCAAAACACACAACUAGUUUCUUUUUUCUACAUAAUAUUUUUGUUUGCUUUUGAUAAAUUUGAUAAAAAGGUUUUACACGUCAUAGAUCAUUAUUAAUAAGAAUAUGUCUGCUAAAAGAUCGUAAUCAGAACAUCUAUUGCUAAGAAAGAUUUUAGUAGAGACAGACAUUGAAUCUGGUAUUCCCACAAUAGGGAAAAUGCAUGUAUUAUUGUUUGGUUAGCUACGUUGAAUUGAAUUGACUUUAUCGCUUGCAUUAUAAGUUCAUAAGCACGAUAAAAAAAAAAAAACGAAGCAAAUCAAUGGACGACAAAAAUCUGAAACAAAUACGCGCUAAAUCGAUAUACCAUUAUUCGAUGUUGAAUAUUAGGCAUGAGAUUUAUUAUCCUGGAUCCGGAAUCGAUCCGAGAUUCUCUCUGGAUCCGCUCCGAAAAUAGGAUAUCCAGGCUGCUUGAAUUCGAAUACGAAUACUAAAAUCUUGGAUCCGUCAAACAUGAUACCUCUGGAUUCAUGGUGUUCUUCGAUAAUUGAUGAAGGAAAAGAAGAGGGUUCACGAAAUUAGGAUAAGAGAAUUGGAGAGAGAAUAUAAGGGACUUUUCGAAAAAUAGGAAAGUGAUUUUUGAAUUUUUUUUAAAAAAUUAUUUUUUCAGUUAGUUAGAGUUUUGAAAGUGACCGGUUAGUUAGAGGAGUUAGAGUUAGAGAAUGUAGUUGAACCUUAUAUAAGAGCAUGUCGGACACUGUACAUGAAGAAAGUGUGCAUCUAGAAACAAAUGUCCCUAUGUGCAAUUUGUAAGCGACAAUAUGUCUUAAAGCGUAAAAGUUUCUUUUAAAACUCAACUCUAGAGAAAUUGCAUCAAGAAGAGCAGCUUUUACAGCGAGUGUCUCUGCUGCUAAAGCUGAAGCAAUUAGACGAUCUCCUGAGUUGUAUCUGAUGAUACCAUUCUUAGAGUCCUUAUUGUCCAGCCAAGCCCACCACUAUGUAAAACUCCAUCUCAAGCUGCAUCUACAUGAAAAUUCAGGUGUGUGAGAGAAAAGCAUGUCUCUCAAUGCAAAACAGAGGCCCAUCAGUGUGAUAUUUAUCAGCAGCCCACAAAAACAAUGAACUGAACUCAGUUUGAUUUAUUGGUUCUAGUUAAAGUGUUAACAUAACUCUUAUAAAUAAAUAUUUUGAUUUGGUUUUGUCACUUCGCCCGUUACAACUAGAUCACUUAUUUCUCUAUUUUUUCUUUUAAAAUAGAAAAAUUCUAUAAUACAGAUGGAUUUAUCUGUAAUGUAUUCAUCUAUUUCUUCUUUUAAAAAGAAAUAUUCUUUAUAUAUUCUUUUCUAAUUUUACAAAUAGUAUUUUUUUAUUUGUAAAAGUUGAAAACCAACCUAAUUUAGUUUAACAUUCAUAAAAUUAUGAUAUUAUUUACACUAAAUAUUUUUAUAGAAACUAUUAUAUAAAUAAAAAUAUGAUUAUAUAUUUAUAUAAACAAUACAUUUUCACUAAAAAUAUUUAUUUUGGUUAUAAUUGUUAAAGUAAAAAGUUAAAGGAUCAUUUUUUUGAAAAAAAAAUAUGCCUCUAUUAUAGAGGAAUGAUAUUUCUAAAUAUAGAGGUGAAAAUAGCAAUCUAUAUUUUAGAGGAAAAAAUAAAGUAGGAUUGAACUGAUUUUAUCUUGAAAUGCUAUUAUAAAAACAAAUAUAGAGGUGGGUUGGAAAUACUCUUAUUGCUCUAACUAAAAAAGCGCACAACAAAUCGCACUUGACUCUAGACUGCUUUUAGCCGACAAAGCGAGCGACCGGAAGUCUCCGGCUCGACGACUCGAAUUAGCGGCCCGACACCUCUGCCCAAUCGUCGAGGAGGCCCAUUAGGUCAAGGCGAGUUAGGUUAAUAAGCACGCGUCUAUAAAAAGAGGAGAGGAGACAACAAUCAAAGGAUCAGCAAAUUUCUACAUUACUUACUUUCGGCUAGAAACUAGGGUUUCAUAUCUCUAUUCUGGUCGACUUGUAUUCUCCGGCGAACCAGCUUUCGCCAGUUCACCUCCUUGUUUUCCCCUCCUUGUAAUACGAAUGAGCACUCUCUUGAUCUAAUAAAACACGUCUUUGUCUUAACCCACCGACGAGAACUCGUCCCUAUCUCUUUACUAGCUUAUCGACAGUCUCGGUUCAAACAGUUGGCGCCCACCGUGGGGCAGACAAAGUAGCGCAAGUAAGAAGAUCAUGGCUCGAUCUGACUCGCCGUCCGACGUCGAGUCACCUACAACCGAAGGCGCCCUGACAGCGGCAACCUUCGCAGAUACCAUACUCGAGAGGAUGGCGCAGCAAGACGUCAUUUAGAAUGCGACAAACGAGCAACUAGCCGCUAUCGCCGCAAUCUUAGCUCCCUUGGCCGGGAACUCAGCAGAUCCAGCCACGACGGUUCGGAAACAGCUGUUCGACACCUAUCGAACAGCCGGCGUCGAGACCACGACCAAUACAAACGCCGUCCAGGCCCAAACACCCAGCGGGGUAGAUCUUGUAACAGUCCAGGAACUCGCCGAGCUUAAGCAGUCGUUCCUGGACAUGAAAGAUAGGAUGCUCGAAGGACCCACCUCGGCGCCGUUAAUCGAACGUGCCCUAAAAACCUCGUUCUCUCGGCGAAUCACCGACGUACGGUAUCGACCAGCAGAGAAAAUCCGCCUUCUGACCUUCACCGGAAAGGCAGACCCGACUGACCAUAUCACCGCUUUCAAUAUCGCGAUGGGUCGAACUAACUUUUCCGAUGAGGAAAGAGACGCUGGCUAUUGCCGGCUCUUCGUCGAGAGUCUUCAAGGACCAGCCCUCGGGUGGCUCACUGGAUUGGAACGAGAUUCCAUCAACGAUUUUUACGACCUGUCGGCCGCUUUCCUCAAGCAGUACAUCAUGUUCACGAGACAAGGAGCGACCCUAUCCGACUUGUGGAAUCUAUCUCAGGAAGCAAACCAGAGCCUCCACGACUACAUGGAAAAGCUCAAAGCUGUCGCUUCAAAGGUGCAUGUCCCCGACAGCAUCGCCGUUGAUGCGCUGAUGAACACCCUCUACUCCAAGUCCCUAUUUUGCGAGGAUCUCUACAGAAACCCCACCAAGUCGCUUCAGGAUGCUAUCGCCAGAUCGAACAACUUCAUCCGAAUGGCAGAAGACACAACAGCGAUACUCAAGAAAAUGAAUGCGACCGCUAAACCGACAGCUCCAAAAGCUCCUGAGGCACGCUAAGAGCCUCGACAACACGCCACAGGCAACAAAUCCAACCAGCAGAAAAACUUCGUCUAUGUCGUCGAAGAUAAAAAUCCCCCGGGAUCGACUGUCGUCGUGCGCGAGAAGGAUUGGAACGUCUGGGAGAACGACGAGAAGUCGCAAACCCCAUCGGCACCUUCGACUUUGAAUCCUGGCACGACCGAACCAAACAUAUGGUGCAGCUACCAUAAGUCCAAAGUGCACGAUACGAGAAAUUGCAGGCAUCUAGUUGAUGCCCUCUUCUCAUCCUACGAAAACGGAACAGCAAACGUCGAGCUUCCCAAGCCUAGGCCAAAAAACACCAAGAGCUGGAACAAGAACAAAGAAAAGAGAGCUCAGAAGAAUCAAGACAAGGCCAAAGCCCGACCCAAAUGCGCAGAAGAUGACAAGCUAGAAGAGCAAGACGAAGACGAGGGGGAAGCACAAGUCGAAGAAGAGCAACCUCGUAAUCUUCGACGUGUCCAAGUCAUCCUCGCACGACCGAGUUCCUACUCAGACCAAUUAACCUAAUGUGCCAACAAUUAACCUAAUGUGCCAACAAUACCACAAUCGAAUGGUAUGUCAUUGUAGCAUUUUAGGAUCGAAUCCACAGAGAACUAGAGACUUAUAACACCAAGAAUACACAAACCUUCCUAAUCUAAGCAAACAAGAAGAUAGAUGAUUUGUAACAAACUAAUAUCCUAGAAAUAUAAACAAGUGAAUCCAUGGGCUAAGGGAAUUGACUUCAAGUAACUAAGAUCCAAUCUAGGUGACAAGCUUUCAAUCAAAGUAAUCUCUUAAGUCUAAACACAAUUUUAGACAAGUCCUAUGUCUAGGUAAAUGUCCAUUUGCUUAGAAAUCAUUAAACAUCAAAUGUCUUUGGCUUAAUUCAAUCAAGCAAUCUUUAAGUUCAAGUUUAAUAACUAUCUAGCAAUUUUAACAUCAAGUGUCCUUGGCUAAUCUCACUAGAGCUUAGUUGAGUUGAUUCAAACACUUCAUCUAAUCAUGUCUGAUGAGAAGUGUUUAGAAAUCAGGUUUAGAGUGAUCAAGACUAAACAAGCAUUAAAAAUACUCAACAAGCAAGUUCAUACAAGGAUCUAAUACAAUAACACCAUAGAUCUUCACUAAGUUACUCUAAUCUCCCUAACCCAUGAAUUAUUAAGGAAACUACUCACUAAUCUUCAUGAAAACACUUAAUCUCAUAAUAGAUUGAAGCAUAUUCAAGUAGAUACAACAGAGAAUAAAGAUAAACAAGGAUUAAACAAGCAAAUUCAAGAGAAUAAGAAGAAAAGAAACUAAAGAUUCAAGCUUUCUCUCUCAAGAGUUCUUGUGUUCUUCAUAAAAAAGUAGAUAGAUCCCCCAUUAUUGUCUGAAAAGUAGUUAUAUAUUACUAAAACUCGAGCUGGGGUUGACCCAUAAAAACAGAUAUUUUUCUCCGUAGUGACCAUAAAAGGUCGCUACAAGAGGUCACUACGCCUGUAGCGACCUGAAAUGCCCGCUACGGGUGGCCGCUAGGACACUUAGACGAUUUUUUCGCAUUCUUGAACUCAUAGCGACCUCAUUAUGCCGCUACGGAAGACCGCUACAGAAAGCGCUUCAACUAUAGCGGUCUCUCUAACCCGCUACACACUCCCGCUACGGUACUUAGGCGCCUCAGCUCUAUCUUCUGUAGCGACCAUCUUUUGCCGCUACGCCUGGCCGCUAGGAAUGUCAUAUUGAUAUGUGUGUAGUAUUUUGAUCAUAAAUCCCUCAAUACAGCUCCAAACGACUUGAAACCACCUCCAUUGUAAAGCUAACUCAAUUUCCAGUGUCUCCACAAAUUUUGAGCUUCAGAAGAGAUCUUUAAGGCCUUCAUCCGUGUUCAUCUUUCACUCUUUGGACUCAAAAUCCCUCCAAUGGUCUUCUAACUCAUCCAUGGUGCUCUCCAACACCUGAUAUGUACAAAUGCAAUGAUAUGCAACCUAAAUGUGCCUAAAUGAUACUCUAAAUGACCAAACCAUGCAAGAAUAAGAAGUUAAAAACAUGUAAAUUCACAAGAUAUCACACGACCGAGUUCCUACUCAGACGAGGAGGAGGACAACAAAGUCCAUGACUCACACGAACACUCUAGCAAGCGACCAAGUGAGAACAGCGGACCGGCGGGGUCGUAUGAUUUGAUAAGCAAGCUCAGGCGAAAGUCGCAGACAAUCGACUGCGUGCACAACUCUAAAGACGACCUUUGCUCAAUCAUCGAAGAUUCCAAAGCUAAAAGAGUCGAAAACUCCAGUAUUCGACCCUACCUCAAGCCCCGAGUCGUCGAUCUCCACGAUAAGCUCAACUCGAAAUCCGAAGACCUCAGGAUCAAGCUCAAUCGACCCAAACGUUCCGACUUACGACAAAAGCUGGAAGAAACAAAAGCCAAGACCGGCGACAAACACGAGCCUAUCGUCGAAGACUUGUCCAGCGAUUCGAGGGUCCAAUUGCAGAGCAAACGAGUCGAGCGCGCUCCCUUCUUGAACGUGAUUAUGGGAGGCUCGCCUCCUUGUGGAGACUCGGUCCGGUCGGUCAAAGAUCAUCGAGGACAUGCAGUAACCUCGAAGAAAUGUCCAUCGAAACCUAAGAAUGAUCCCCAGAUCACUUUCUCACCUGGCGAUGCCAUCGGUGUCCACCUACCUCAUAACGACCCUCUACUGGUCGAAGUAGGAAUCGCUAAGUGCGACAUCGCCAAAAUCCUGAUCGAUACUGGCAGUUCAGUCGACCUCAUCUUUCGAGAUACACUCGAUAAGAUGGGAGUCGACUUGCGCGAUAUGAAGCCGUCGUCUCGCUCCCUCACGGGAUUCAACGGAGCUUCCGAGACAAUGAUCGGAACAAUCAAGCUCCCAGUCUACGCAUGCGGGGUAACUCGCACAGUCAAAUUCUCCAUCAUCCAAACAGAGGCUCCAUAUAACGCGAUCCUCGGAACCCCUUGGUUGCAUUCAAUGAAGGCGAUAUCAUCAACCCAUCAUCAAUGCGUGAAGUUCCCGGGACCAAAUGGGCAGGUGCAGACACUACGAGGAGACCAGCAGGCCGCACGCGACCUACUGAUUGCAACGGUGAAGAUGCAAUAAUCGACUCCUCGCAUUAAUGCAAUAUCAAAACAGAUUCAGCCCCAAAAGGACAAGAUUCUAGAAGUCGCAAUUGAUGACUCCGACCAAAGCAAAGUAGUUCGAGUCGGCGCAUUCCUCUCCGAAGAAAUGCAACGCGCGAUCAUAUACUUCUUGAAGCAGAAUGCGUCGACCUUCGCUUGGACAACCUCAGACAUGAAGGGAAUAGAUCCCGCCAUAACGUCCCACGAGUGGAACGGUGAUCCAACCAUCAAGCCCAUUCACUAGAAAAGACGCAAGCUUGGCCCCGACCGAAGCAAGGCCGUCAAUGAAGAAGUAGAACGACUGCUCGCAGCCGGUUCGAUCGCGGAAGUGUGAUACCCGGAAUGGUUAGCCAACCCAGUUGUCGUCAAGAAGAAAAAUGGAAAAUGGCGCUUCUGCGUCGAUUUUACCGAUCUAAACAAGGCAUGCCCCAAAGACAGUUACCCGCUUCCGCAUAUCGAUCGACUGGUCGAGUCGACUGCUGGAAACGAGCUCCUGAAUUUCAUGGAUGCCUUCUCAGGAUACAAUCAGAUCAUGAUGCAUCCGGACGAUCGAGAGAAGACAACAUUCAUCACCGAUAGGGGACCUACUGCUACAAAGUAAUGCCAUUCGGCCUAAAGAACGCCGGCGCGACUUACCAACGACUCGUCAAUCGAAUAUUCGCCGAUAAAUUGGAGAACACGAUGGAGGUCUACAUCGAUGACAUGCUGGUUAAGUCGCUCCGCGCGAUCGACCACCUGAGUCAUCUGAAGGAGUACUUCAAGACGCUGAACGAGUACAGAAUGAAACUCAACCCGGAAAAAUGUACCUUCGGCGUUACUUCAGACGAAUUUUUGGGUUACGUCGUCACCCAAAGAGGAAUCGAAGCAAAUCCUAAACAGAUCACUGCGAUACUCGACCUUCCCAGCCCAAAGAACGGCUGAGAAGUCCAGCGACUUAAUGGGAGAAUCGCAGAGUUAAACCUCUUCAUCUCAAGAUCUACGGACAAAUGCCUCCCCUUUUACAAGCUAUUGCGCGGGAACAAGCGUUUCGUCUGGGACAAAAAAUGCGAAGAAGCAUUCGGACAGCUCAAGCAAUAUCUAACGACUCCUCACGUACUUUCCAAACCAGAAGCCGGUGAUACACUCUCUCUCUAUAUCGCAAUGUCCUCUACCGCGGUCAGCAGCGUCCUCAUCCGAGAAGAUCGAGGCGAGCAGAAACCCAUCUUUUACACAAGCAAGCGAAUGACUGACCCAGAGACUCGAUACCCCACCCUUGAGAAAAUGGCUCUUGCCGUUAUCACGUCAGCAAGAAAACUACGUCCUUACUUCCAAUGGCACACAAUCGAAGUACUGACGAAUCAGCCCUUCCGCACCGUAAUUCAACGGUCCAAUCAGUCCGGACGGCUAUCGAAGUGGGCUAUCGAGCUCAGUGAGCACGACAUCGUGUUGAAAAAUCGAACGGCAGCAAAAUCUCAAGGUCUCGCCAAUUUCCUAAUCGAGCUCGCGCCGGAGCUAGAACAAGACAUGAUCCUUCCAAGUCAAAACUGGAUACUCCAUGUCGACGAAUCGUCAACAAACAAAGGAUCGGGAGCAAGAAUCAAAUUCGCAUUGUCGAUUUCCGUUUAAAUUAGUAAAGUAGGAGAACCACAGUUUCCCAGAGGUCCCGGAUGUCUGCUAAUACCACACGCCAAGCAAUCAGAACACGAGAUAACAACAAUAAAAAUAUAAGAAAUCGUAAAAAGAGCAAAAGGUGUCUUAUUCUGAAUUCGCGUAUGAGCGUUACAACAAGAUAGAAGCCUCGGUAAUGAGAGCUUUCGGCGAGAUCCCUAGUUCUAACAACCUGAGACUGCAAAACCUAGUUGAGUCGCAGCUCUAAAUAACAAAAACGGAAAGUUGCCUAAUUGCUCUAAGUGCUAAGUUUGCUGUAUAAAAGUUCUCCCUUGUGCCUCUCGCCUAGGACUCCUUAUAUACUCGCUCCUAGGUCGGUUUACGCUUUUCCUCUUCUGCCCUUAAGCCGUCAUAGCUUAAAAAUGGAGAUAUUUCAUUUUUCCCGAUCUUCGUAAUUAUCUUCGAAAACUACGUAUUUAUCCGCGGAAACUUGACAUUUAUCUUUCUUUGCGAACCAAGCAUAAACCAUCCUACGAUUUAUGGGCUUUUGGUUAAGAAAUCAUAAGUGGGCUUCGAGUCACGUCUUAGGUCUCUUUGGGCUGUCUUUUGACUCGAAACAUUUAUUACGUCUUCUUUCGAUAAAAAUUAACUUUCCGCGGUUCUUAUCGUAAAGUUCGAUUGAUGACUUCAAAUGGCAAGAAACAUGAAAUGGGCUUGCCACGGUCUUCGGGAGAUAGCAUUAAAGAGUAGACGAGAAUGCAUGGAUUCGUGUCGUAUCGACGUUUUAAGAAAGCACAGUUGCUACGUAGCGACCGAGUCGUAUGCAUGCUCGGUCGCUACGUACCGGCCGAGCUUCGGUGAGAGCUCGGUUGCUACAUAGCGACCGAGCCGUGAACGUGCUUGGUCGCUACGUAGCGACCGAGCGGUGCACCGUGCAGUGUACAUGCUUGGUCGCUGCGUAGCGAUCGUGAUUGGCUUGUCUGUGGUCCGAUUGCCAUACUUGAGCUUGUCCGUGGCUUGUUUGGAUAUGUGUCUGUUGCCUUGGGACAGCCGGUAUUUGAUUCAAUCGAGAUUUGAACAAGUUUUUACUGCGAGAUUCCUUGUAGGGAUUCUUUUUACGAUGAGUAUAUUCGGUAAAAAUGUUCACGCCGAUUCAUUGCGGAGAUUUGGACAUUAACUUUGUCAUAACGGUUUUUGACCCCAACAACCGACGGGAGAGUUAAUCAGAUAGUCGUUCAGUUUCGGCUUUACCACUUCGAACAACGAAGCGGAAUACGAUUCAUUGAUCGCAGGACUACGACUCGCUAAGGCGGUCAAAGCAAAGCAGCUCAAUGCAUUCUGUGACUCGCAACUUGUUACCAGUCAGUUUAGUGGGGACUACGAUGCCCGCAACAAACGAAUGGACGCGUACCUUAAAGUCGUUCAAGCACUCAGUAAGGACUUUGAAUUCUUCGAACUCACCAAAGUCCCCAGAGGUGAGAACGUGUGCGCCGACGCUCUCGUUGCCUUAGGCAGCAGGUUGCGCGAUCAAGUGAAACGAACCAUUCCCACCCACAAGAUCGACAAACCAAGCAUCGAGCUCCCACCUAGCGAAACGACCAUGGUAGCACCCAUAACCAAAGCUGUCGCAAUGGAUGAAGACCCUGCAGCAGAACAAACCGAAGCCGCCGACUGGAGGACCGACUUCAUCAACUAUCUUGUCGAUGGGAAGCUACCUCCCGAGAAAUGGAUUGCGAGACGACUCAAAACACGAAGUGCUCACUACGUCGUCCCAGACAGAGAGCUCCACCGAUGGACCGCGACCAAAGUGCUCUUGAAAUGCAUCCACGGCGAGGAAACUUACCUUGUCAUGGCCUAAACGCACGAAGGCGCUGCAGGAAAUCACUCGGGAGGACUAGCACUCGCCCUAAAAGUCAAAAGCCUUGGCUUUUACUGGCCAACGAUGAACGCAGAUUGCGAAGUCAUUAAACUGGGAGUCCACCGACUCGAGACAUCGACUGGCGAGCCUGUUCCCAGAGCAUGGAACUCCAUGCAUCUCCGAAGAUACUACUCUUGAGAACGUAUCUAACGAUCGAGUAACUGCCAGUUUUACUCGAUCAAACCUCGAAAUCAACAAGUGAAUGACAUUCAUUCACUUUCACUAGCAAAAAAAAAAAAAAAAGAAAAACAAAACAAAUUCCCUCCCAGAGGUACGUAGGCAGCCUUAACCGGUCCAGCUAUAACCAAAAAACAAAACCAAUCCCCUCAACGAGAGGAAGUACGAAUUGUUUUGCGAUUCUUACGCACGAGCAUGACCUGUCUCUCGAACGAACGUACUAGCACUCGCACCCACUAGUGAGCAUAUCCUGAUUAGACACGUGCUCGGGGGACUUUCGGUCGUGUCACGGCUCCAGCCGAUACGAUCGAGACGAUAGCUUUCAACAGUCUUUUAAUCCUAUAAAGUCAGGUUUGGCCGACCAAGUACUCUGGGAUUACUUUAAGAUCGACUGAAAACCACUGUCGCUCGAAAAUCAGAAGAUUUUCUUUGAAGUCAAAAGUUUAAACGCUUCGAUGACUGGAACUGUCGGCGCAACGCGUCAAAACUCGAUAAACCGUCUAAUCAGCCUUCAGGUUUACUUCGAGAUACUAACCAUGUUGCCAGAUCAAAAUCGUUAAAAUCUAAAGUCAGAAACAAAAUUCGACGACUCAUCGAAAAGCUUUUGGUAGUUCCGAGUCCAAGAGUUUCAAGACAAAGCCACAAAAUAAAACCGAAGAGUUUCAAAGCUACAACAACAAAAGCCCCAUAGGGCUAAAAAAACAGAAAGCUUAAGAGGAACAACAACAACACAUAAGAUCAGUCUUCGGCGCGAUCAAGGUCUUCUCCGAUGACUUGAGCUCCAAGCGGAUCGGAGACACCUCCGGUCCCAUCUGCUGUCGAGUCAGUCGGGUUCUCAACUUCAUCGACGUUGCCUUGUUCCUGGGCCGAGGACUCCUCGAGAUCCUCCUCCGCUCCUUGUGGCUUGCUUGCGGGAGCCUAUUCAUUUGACUUAUCCCCACCAUCUUCCUCAGCUGAAGAAACGGAAGGUUCGACCAGAUCCUCAGGAUCUAAUCCUGCCCCAUCCUCCCCCCAGAGGAAGAGCCGGGUCCUCGUCGCUAACUCCAAGUGUCGGAGCCGAUGACUCUUCCCUCACUGUAAGGUUGACUGGGGUGGAGGCCGAAUUCGGAACGGCUGGAGCAGUCGUCGGUCCAGAAGUAUCUUUGGUCCCCUCAACCUUGCUGACAUUGCCUUGUUCUUGAACGGGUAACCCCUCGAGAUCUCUUCCAGUCGGUUCGCUCGAUCUUUCGAUCGCGUGGUCACCCUGAGAACUCGUGGGAGUUUGGAGAAUGGCAACGGUUCCAGCGUCAAUAAUGUUUGCAUUCGACCCGUAUGGGUCAAUCGCCGCCAAAACGUUCUCAUUCAAGAAAGGAGACGGAAGAUGAAGUGGAGAUAAGCAAAGAAGCUCUUCGGGAAUCCCGCCGACAGUUAAGCGAUUAGCCUCCUCCUCGAACUCUUUCUCCUGUUCAGCAAACAAGUCGAUCGUCUCCUCCAGGUUGUCGAUCCCACUUUCCUUAAGCUCUUCGAGGCACUUCUUCGUCCUGAAAGCUUGGUUCUGCAAGGAUCUCGCCGUUUCGAAGUCGCUGCGACGCGUUUCGAGGUCUCGAAUCUCGGUAAAACGCUUAUUGCAUUUUACGAUCAUGGCCGAUUGAACGCGAACUCGCUCAUGCGUAACCUCGUAACUCCGAGAGUCCCUCAGCCGGUUGAUUUCCUUCAGGUGCCUUAAGGACGUAGCAACCUUCUCUCUCUCCCAGGCAGCUUUCUCUUCCUCCAGGGCAGCUUUCUCGCGCGCGAGUCCUCGAAUCUUCUCGCCGGCAGCCUUGAACUUCCCCUUUAGGUCCCUGAACUUAUCAACAAACUUCUCCUUCUGAGCCUUCUUCUCUUCGAGCAACCGACUUUUCUCCGCUGCAGCCUUGUCAAUCAUCGCUUUGAACUCACUCGUUUUGCGAUUGAGAGCUGCGUCCUUCGCUCGCACGAGUUUGUCGGCUUGCUUCAGCUUGGAGAUGGUCUCUUUAAGGGCCGUGUCAUACAUGGCGACGAUGUAAUUCAUACUCCCAUCACUCUGCGCAAACAAAGGAAAGGGUCAGAACUAGAAGUAUAGAGAAGACGAGACGAAGAAAGCAAUCCUUACAAGAACCUUAGUCUUCGCUGCAUCGACAUAUGGAUCUUUGAAGAUGAGGUCCUUAACCGGCGGCAUAUCCUUAGCGCCACCUCGAAUCUGUCGAACCAGUUCAGCACAUUCUGACGGAGCAUAAGCGAGUGGAGUGUAGCCGUCAUACUUGAAUUCCACGCGAUCGGGGAAUUUGACUCGACGUUCCUCUAAGGCCGAACCACUAUCCCUGGUCACCAAAGGAGUCCUCGCGGCGGAAACUGGUGCGUCUUGCUCACGGGAAGGUCUUUUCCUCCUUUCCAACGGAACGUUCGGAGAAUCGUUCAACUCAACAUCAGCCUGAGCCGCACCCUCACGAGAAGAGCCGUCAUGACCCUCCACAUCCCCGAUAGGUUCCGACUGCUCCUCAACAGACUUCUUCCUCUUUUUCUUCUCUUUCUUCUUCUUCUUCCUCGGAGGUUCAUCAGAUUCGGUCCUCGUGCGAGCCUCGAUUGAAGCAGAUGAACCCGGAGCAGGCCUUUUCUUCUUAUUAUCGUCAGUCACCGACGGUUUAGCGGUCUCUCAAUCGGAAGACUGCACAAGUUUUUCCCUCGAGGAUUCGAUAUUUACCGGGCCUACAGACGACUCCGGCGGAACUACGAGAGACGGAGGCCCGAAAGGAGUCGUCUCACCAGGAGUCGCAUAAGGCGUCCUUUUCGCUCUGCUCAACUUCUUCUUGAUUAGCGCGCUCAAGUCUGGAAAUUCUUUCAUUUCCCUAGCUGCGUUGAUCACCUUCUGCUCGGCGCGAGUGAAUAUUGAGAACCGCCGCUUGUUGCCGGUAAUCAAAAGUGGUAAAUCAGAUCUCCAGUCCCCUACGAAAGACCGACGAGUCAAAUCCAGACAAGUGUCUCGAGCGAACAGAUGCAGUCAAAGAAAAAUGUAUAAUCGCGUUAAGGAAACCUACUCUUUGAGAUCCUGUCAACGGCUCGUCGGAUCCUCUCGACAGUGAUACCCUUCCAACUUACUUGAGCAAGCGACGCGAUGGCACGAGCGUUAGCUAUGAACUCUUCGGGAUAGGAGGCUGUGUCUGGGUGAUCAACUGCAAUCAAACGAAGACUCGGCAGAAAAGGAAAGAAAGAGGCUAUCGAUAAACUAUCAGCAACACUCUACCAAGUCCAUCAUUCCAUAAAAAUCGAAAGGAAUCGCCGGGCGGCUCUUCGAAGGCAAAACCAUCAGAUGUAACGUAAAAGUAGAAGCGAUGCCAGUUAUUCGUCCUGCUGGGAUGAUCAACGAUCACGUUGUAAUUAGGCCUCAUCUGGAUCGAGUACAAUCCAUCCCCCAUCGACUUAAGGUAUGUCAGCUCUUCCAAGUCCGCACGCUCAUCGACACAUCGAUCUCCGCCGCCGCCACCAUCAAUGCUACCGAGAUACGGAACGCACCGUUUAAAAACUAGCCUAUCGCCGCGUCGCGACGCCUCGCAUAGGAUGCGACGAGUUGAGGAAUCGGAAACCAGAGCUUAGUCUCGUUCUGAAAGUAAGACUCGUAUACACACUGAAAUCCCACCGGAGGAGACCAUGGCCUCUGGUCUUUCGUAUGGAUCAGAAAAGUCACUCCGGCUCCUCCGCACGCUCUCAGCAGACUUUUCACGCUGCUAGAAGUCGAACGAGUCUCCUUAACGUUCUCCCAUGUUUGACCCUCAGCGAUAGGAGAAUGUAUCAGCUCUGGCGCCAAUGCCGGGAGGUCCUCGAAAAUCCCCCGGGAUGAUAACAACACGGAACGAAGUCAGGGGGAGAAGUUUCUCCUUCACUCGCUCCACCUUGACCGUCUCUCACGACUGACGCAGCAGUCUCUCUCUCUUCGCGAAGUUGGCGCGCUGACUCAGCAACAAGGACUCGCUGAGGCGUAUUCAUAUUUGUUGUGUCCAUCAUGGCUUCGCGAUGAAUUUACUCGAUAUCAGAAGGAGAGUUCGACUCGACGACUCGUGCAGGACUCGAUUCGGUCGCUUUCGCCACCGCCUUCGAUUCGGUCGCUUUCGCCACGACAUUUUCAAAAUCUAAGACUAAGAAGCUAGAGUGAGAAGCAGAAGAGGAAGAGAGAGAAAAUACCUGAGUCGGAUGAAGAAUGAAGAAAAUGAGAGGUGAGAGGGGUAUUUAUGAGGGGAGGAGCGCAUCGCACCCCGAGGCGUCAUUAUUAGACCUAGAUGGGCCCAUAUAGGCCCAUCUAGGCGCGUGAAGUUCACCACGUCUCGCGACGUUUCGACUUCUUGAGGUAAACCAAGACCGGUUAAGAUCGAGACCAGUGGUCAUGAUUAAGACCGAAGAAAACCGCCGGUUCAGAUCAAACCGGCGAGAUAACAAAUUGCGAGCAAGAAAGCCGCCCACUUAGUCGAGGAGUCGAGUGAGAUCACGAGUCUAGAACAAUUGUCUUGCAAACCCUACUUCCAAAUUCGUGGACUCGGCUACGCUACUCACCAGCGAACUGGGGGGACUUACUGUUGGGCAUGGGUCUGACCCUCCCAAAAGGCCCACAAGACAAUUGUCCAAACACAUGAUCACAACAAAGAGACUCGGCUCGUUGACUCGCGAGCCGAGUGACCGGCUCGACUCUAGACUGCUCUUAGCCGACAAAGCAAGCGACCGGAAGUCGCCGGCUCGACGACUCGAAUUAGCGGCCCGACACCUGGUCUGGUGCAAGUGCAGGACUCGACUCGAAUAAACAACAGAAUUGUCCAGCUUGUGGUCAGCUUUCGCCGGCUCGACGACUCGAAUUAGCGGCCCGACACUAGGUUGCAGGAGAUUCAGAGGAGGAACCUUCUCUUGAUGACAUGACAACAAAUUUGCAAGCUUCUUCUUCUGGUCUGGUGCAAGUGCAGGACUCGAUAGGAAUAUAUCCAAUGACCGAAUGACUCCUUUUCGCUCGAUAGCUCUGAAUGCUGAUGCCACACCUCUCGCAAACAUAUCUCUAUGGGUUAUUUCAUGAGUGUCCACAAGAUGAAGUAGUCAAGUAAAGAGUGAGUGAUGUGUGGAUAUUGCGGUAUUGACCAUACCAUCAAGAGCAGCAGGUUUGACAUUCAUUAUUAUAUUACAAAUUGUUUCGUCGAAGAAGAGCCAGUCGUAAAACAGAGCCAGCUUAACACUUCCUUGGUUUUGUCUAGACAGUUCCAAAAACCAACCUAUCACAGCCCACCUUGGCAUAAUCUCUGACCUGAUAAUUUCGUUAGUCGGGUGAAUAACACAGCAGAUGAACCGGACUUUGUCGGUCAAAAGCACUUGUUUUCCAUUACCCACGAGGAAGUUGUUCAAGAACCAAAUCUGAUGCCUCUUAUGGCUUCCUAGUUUCACAUUCCCAAGCAAAAACCUUAACUGGGUUUCCAUCUCAGGACUGAUUCGUAGAAAGAAAUAUAUAUCUAGUUGAAGUCUUGGACAUGUAAUAAAUACUUGAGACCAAAUUGUUCCUAUCUCUCUGAACUCAGAGACAUGAGCCAAGUCCUGCAACAACCGGACAAGAUCUCUUCCAAUCUUCAAACUCAAAUCCAUCUCCUCUCUAAACAUCUUGACACAGAACUUCAUCUCUAGCCUCUUCACAUUGUCGCCUGAAACUUUACAAUGAUCCUCCGCUAAUAAACGUAGAAAGCUAUACAGAGCACUAGUCAAAAACCAAAGGAAAAUCUUCAAGCAAGCAAUCCCACUUGUCAAGAAACAAGCUCACCAGUUCAGAACAAAGCCAGACAUUCUGAUCACCACUUCCAAUUCGUCGAAGCAAAUCCUCAAGACCCACACUCGAAACAGAGAUCAUCUCCUUCGUCAACCACAUCAACUGGAUCUUAGCGGAAUCAACGAGCUUACCGUACAGUUCAACAACGAUACCAACAAGCAAACUAGUGAAAAACCCAUAGCCAUCAGUGACGAGAGCAUGUAAAUGCUUCAUGUGAGUUGUCGAGGAACUGGAAUCGCAUAAGACGCCGUAGACGAUGGCUCUUGUGGGUCUGGGAUUUCUAGUGAAAACGGUGGACGUAGUUUCGGUUUGAGAGACUCAUUGGCUUGGCGGAGUGAGAGUUCGAGCUGGCUCUCGACUUCGUGCAGGGCAACGCGAAUCAGUUUCGACGCGGCCAAGAGGUUUUCGUUUUCCAUUAUCCCAUUCCAGAGAGAAGAAGUAAGCCUGAUUUGCGGGUUAGCUUCUUUUUUUUUUUUUCUAACUAGUCCGAUGAUUCAUACUCCGUGGGAUAUGAAGCAUGUUCACGUUCUUAAAAUUAUCCAGUAGACUUUGAAAUGCUCUGAUGCAAAGGUCGCCAAAUCCAUCAGUCUAAGUUGACCAUCUCAAAACGGAUCGAGCAAAUGGUCUCUCAUACAUGAAGUUGCCCAAAUUAAUCUUUCCAUCUCCGGGUUUAAGGCCAAGAGGCUUCUGUAGCACGAGACUUAGUCCGAAUGAUUUAAUAUUCAUUUGAUCCUUAAGACUCCACCCUAGACCACUAAUAUUGCCAUUAUCGAUAUAUGAAGCAUCGAUUCGACAAGUUGAGAUUCAAGGUAUACAAUGGGGUACUGUCUUAACAAUUGUGGUAUAGAAGUAGAUCAAGUCAAAAUCGAGAUAAUGACUAGUUUACCAUCACCCACCACCGUGAAAGAUGUAAGUAGUUUUCUCAGACACGUUGGGUUUUACAGGAGAUUCAUAAAAGAUUUUAACAGAAUAGCUAGACCCUUCACAGCCCUCAUGUGCAAAGAAGUUAAAUUCGACUUCACGCUAUAAUGUUUAAAAGCUUUUGAAGAAGACAGCUUUAGUAACUGUCCCCAUCGUGCAAGCUCCAGAAUGGAGUUUGCCUUUCGAGAUAAUGUGUGAUGCGAGCGAUUGCGCUAUAGACGCAGUUCUUGCCAGAAAAAGGAUAAGAAGCUACAUGCUCUAUUACGCUAGUAAGACUCUCGACCAUGCGCAAAGAAAUUAUGCGAUAACAGAAAAAGAAUUACUAGCCGUAGUUUUUAAGUUUUGCUCCUACCUAGUCGGUUCGAAAGUAGUUGUCCACACAGACUAUGUUGCAUUGAAAUACUUAAUGCAAAAGAAAGACGCAAAACCGUGACUUCUGAGAUGUGGGUUUUAGAAAAACCCAUUAUUUAAAAAUCCAAUAAAAUCUAAAUAGUUAAAACCCGAAACCCGGCUACUAGUUGAACCAAUGAUUGACCCAAUAGGUAACUUUUACCUUUUUGUAGAUUUUUAAUUACGUUAUUAGAAUCUAAUUUGUAUUCUAAAUAGGAAGUUAGGUUUUUAGUUUUCUUUAAUAUCGUCUUCCUUUGUUGUCAACUUUGUAUGUUCUUUGACUCUUUUUAUGUUUUUGAUUUUUUGUUUAUUGUAAAUCUUACUUAAGACACGCUCUUUAUAGUUUUGAUUUUUAUUUUCCUUUUUAGAUUUUGAUGAAAUUUCAGUAUGCUACUUAUAGAAAAUGAAGUGAUUGAUGUUAGAGAUAACAAAAAUUAGUUGAUGAGAUUUGAUAUUAGUGUGUAUUUUUGUUAUCGAUAAUCUAUUACUAUUUGAUUUUUAUUUUUAUUUUAUUUUGGAUUUAAAUUUAAAUUUUAUUAUUCACAUUAGACAUUUUAAUACUUAUGAAUUUUAAGUCUUGAUUUUUUUAUUAUAUGUCAUAACUCCUAAUUUGUUACCAAAAAAAUGUUAAAUAGUCUAAAUAUUUUUUUGAUAUUUUGUUUGUAUUUUUAGCAUUUUGAUUUUCUAUAUAUAUUUUUUAAAAUAAAAUAUUUUUUAUAUUUUUCAAUAGCUAAUAUAUUAUUAUAUAACAAAAUUAGUUUAUUUAUUAACGUAUGGUUCGUCCGGUUGACCCAAUAACCCGGGAAGUUAUCCGGGUUGGGUUUAAAAACCUUAAUUUCCCCAUUCAAGUUUUCCAUUUGCAGACACACCUCCCAAGCUACAUUAUCUUCAAAUAUUUAUGGUAUGAGCUGAAAGUACCCUUGUUCUAAAGUCCAAAUCGGAAGUCACGUCUUUGUUGCAAGCAAUCGAAGAAAAGCCAGGCUAUAUAAACGCACUGGACCAAAGUCUCUUUAAUCUAAAAGUUCUUUUUAUUUUCACUUCAGUUAAUAAACUCAAUAUUCAGAAAAUAGAAAAGAAACGAGGUGUUCACAGCUUGCAGUACUUGUUGAACCAUACAGCAAUGUUGAGAAAGCUUUCAUAAUCCGUCUGCGGUCUGCAUAAUAAAACAAUCACAAGAUGAUUUAGCUAUGAACAAACGUUCUCAUAGAGAUGCUACAGCUAUAAACAAUAUAAAAGAUGACAGCAUUUGUUUGUUUGUGUUGGUCUACCUGUCUAGGGGAUGAUUGUCAUUGGGAAAGACUAACACUUUAACCUCAAUUCCUUUCUCCUUUAAGGCUCUCACGUACUAUACAAAUCAAGAAUACAUGAACAAACAAUAUUACCAAUAAUGUUUUGGAUCUGCAAAGUUGAACGAGUUGCAGAUUGAUCUUACUUGAAUUCCGUUUGAAAUGGGAACACGGAGAUCCAUAGUUCCCAAGAGAAACAAAGUGGGUGUUUUCACCUGCACAAGAAGGAUCAUUAAAUGAAUGUCUUCAAACUUAUCGAAGAAGAACGGAAGUGGUGUGGUUUUGACCUUUGAGAUGUGUGAUAUAGGAGACAUUUGAUGAAACCGAGACAUAUCUUCAGGUGAUGGGGCUUCUGUAUAGCGAGUCCGGUCACCAUAGGCUUCAAAGAAACACCAAUCAGGUAUAUCCGUAAUCCCAACCAUUGAUGCAAGGUUGCAUACAGGAUUUCUUGCAGCUGCUGCCACAAAUUUAUUCGGGGCCUAUUGCAAAACUUUGGUAUAAGAAUUUGGAUGAUUUCUAUUCCGGUGCCAUAACUUACAAAGGUGAGUGAACUACAUUACCUGGCCAAUCAAGUGUGUAGUGAGAAACCCACCAUGAGAGCCACCUAGUACGGUUAUUCUAGACGGGUCUGCAAGUCCCAUUUCAACAGCGUGGUCUACAGCCGAGAGCACAUCAUUCACGUCUUGUGAUCCAACUUUUCCAGGUAGAGACUGCAAAGCAUCUUCCCCAAACCCCAACGAACCCCUUUCAACCCAAAUGAAUCACCAAAAAAACAAGUUAGGAUCUCCAGAAGGUUGUUGAUUAACUAAUGGAGAUGGAGCUGUCUGUGAACCUGUAAUUUACAAUCAGCAGACUGUAUCCAAUUGAGGAGAGAUAUGCCAAAGUCUUGGAGAAGCUGCAAGGUGCGAUCGAAUGAGGGCCUCCAUGGACAAUAACAGCUAAAGGAUCACAUAUCCCAUUCUCCUUGGACUUUGAAGACGAUACAUAUAUAGCUUCAAUUGGUUUUUUGGCCCCUUGAUCAUAUGGAAAUUAAUUAGUCAGAAAGUUUAUCAACCAAAAACGAAAACAACAAAUAAGAUUGAGAGUUAAAAGUACCUUUGGUAAGACAUUCAGAAACAUUACUGAUUGGAACUUUGAGAAUUUUAAACUCCAGAGAUGAAAGCCCAGACGUGACCUGAAGCGGUGUAAACAGAAAAAGAUUAGUACAGAAAAAAGAUUAACAUCAUUCGAAUCUAGAGGAUUUGGCUAAUCUGAUUUAACCUUCUCAGAGCUUUUAAAUAUUGGGUUUUGGAUAUCUAACCACUGCCAUGAAGGCCUCCCGGCUGGAUCAACAACUUUCUUUCCAUAUUUAAUUUCAGGAACACUCACUGGACUGCUACACACUACUCAGGAAAAAAAGGAAGAAAAGAAAACUUACAGUUGUUCCAAACCUGGUGUGUGUUUUAAGUUUAAGGUGACAUUGUCACAGUUAGUAACUGAGAUUAAGAGUUAAAGAUGUUACCGGCAACAAUAUCAUCACCAUCUAGCGCAAGAACGCUCCAUGAACAAUCUGAAUCAUUAGGGCUGGCACGUGACAGUUCACCACUGUAGUAAUUUUUCUAUCAUCAGUUAGCGUAGCAGCAAAAGAAGAUAACUUGGAAACUUAUCAUAUCUAUUCAUCAGUCACCUUAGCAUAUUUAGGCUGAGUAUUACUCUACAACUGUGCCAGUAGGAAGACAACAUAAGAGUAUGUCCAUCUGACAGCCACGGAUCACUCAGCAGGCCAGUAACAUAGAGUCCAGGGAAACAACCAUCAUCAGGACAAUUCACAACUGGAAUCUGCAUUACAAGAUGUAUUUGAAUAUAUCAAAUAACAGUUAGUGAUUUUUUUAGUUUAAUUGCCACUAUAAAGACAGAUUUAUUGGUGUAGAGAGAGUAGUUAUAAGUUGUUAAGAAACAAAAAGUGUCCAGCUCAUAGAAAGUUUGAAGCUUCUAUAGGGAGAAAAAGGUACGUAUAAUCUCACCAGAUCAACAAUAUCAGUUGACUCAGAAAGUUUCCCAUCACUUGGCCAGUUAAUCUUAUGAAGUGACUCGGUUCCCCAAUGCGCCCCGGAAUCAACAGCGGUCUUUGCGGAUAAAAACAGAAGAAACUUGCCAUCUUUGCUGUGAGAGAAGGAAAAAGAUGAGAGUAAGUUCUUAACUGGUCAUAACUAAAACGAACAUUGCACGUUAACACUGCUACAAGUAAGGACAAUGUUUAGCAUAUGCUGUGUAAGAUGGCUCAGUUGUAAACAGAGUAGCAAGGAGAACAAAUGCUUUUGGUAAAUAAAUAAUUCAAAAAUUUCAUAACAUGUAAACCUGAACAGUGGGGAAAAACCGCUGCUUAUGCUCUUGGUCAAAUUAUGAAUAGGGAAUGCUUCCUUUGCAUCAUCUCUGGAACACAGGUAAACGCAAACUCUGUAAGAUUUAUCGGAACUAUCAACUUGUCUUCUAGUGAGUUAUAGUAACCACAAACUCACUUUGGCUCAUCCGAUCCAGACGAAGCAUCUCUAAACUUUAUUGCGUAUAUGGAACAUGGUCUGUUGUAGCAGUACUUAAUACCAAACUUUCUUUUAUCUCCUAACCAUCCGGCAAAAACUAAAUACUUAGCUGAGCCUUUACUGCUUGGACUCCAAACAACCUGUCCAACACUUAUCGAUCUUGGAACUCCUUUGAUAUGCUCGACCUCUCCACUGCUAGAGAGACAAGAAUUAGAAAAUGUAAAGAGUAAUUAAUUAUUCUUGUUAUUAUUUUUAUUUAUUUUUAUGAAACCUGUCAACAUUGAUAACAAACAGGGCAGGCUGCCUUUUUCCGGCAUAAGCUUCUCCCCAUUCCUCUUCCCAAUCUCCUUGACCUUUCCAGCUUCCAAUAGCCUUGUCCAAACCAACAUUGUCUUUCGUGUAAUAGCCUAGAUGGUCAAAUGUAGGUUUGGGAAGAGAUGGUUCCUCAGCAACAUAAGCAACACAAGUCUCAUCUGAGUUCCAAGAGAUUCCUUCAAACCUGCAUCACACAAGCCUCACUCAAUUUUUCUUUCUACUUCUCCAAGGCAUUGAAUUUGAAAUAAGCCAAAAAGAAAAGUAGAGUACCAUCCAUCAACGUAUACAGAGCCAUGAACUUUCUGUGGAAUAUGAAACUCCUUCUCUAGCUGAGAUGAACUCCAUAUCUCAAACUUUGUAGGAGAUUCUUUAUCAUCAGGAUUCCGGACUACAAGGAGCUUCAGACCCGAUGGAGAGGGGGCAAAAGCAGAUGCGCCGGUCAUCUCUACAGGAAAUGGCGCCCAGUGAAAGUUUACAGACAGGUUACUACUCUCUUUUGAGAUAUGUCCCGAUAACAUAAACUUCCUCCUCUUAUUAGCCAAAAGGUUUGCUUGACUCAUGGCAACCAUAGCCUGAGGACCUGCAGUAUAGAAGUGAAAAAGAUUUAUUCCAAAGAAGUUUGAUAUGUGAAAGGUGGUCCAUUCAUUACCAGAACCAGAGUUGAAGAUCCAAGCUUUGUCAAUGCUGGGAAUAGUAAUAAACUCUUUGAUUAACUUGGACUGUGUUGCAUACUCUUCCUCGCUAGUUUGGUCUAAGUCCUUAACCGUGUCAGUUCCAUAAGAAUCCAUGGUUAACUGAUCUUGUAAUCCAACCUUUUGCAACUGAAACAUAUAAAAAUCUCUAAUGAUUGCAAAACAGUUCCAGUAAUCAAUCAUAUUCAUCAUCCAUAGUUUUAAAACCGACCAACAUACAAUCAGACAUCAUUUGGAUCAAUUGUCGAUUGAACAGAAGAACAUACAGAAACCGAUCAAUGAAUGAAACUUUACAAUUGAAAACCAUCAAAUAGAAGAAACCUAUCGUGAUAACACAGAACCAAAAGACACAGAUCGAGAGACAAACAGCGCAGAGAAAAAGGGCUUACGAAGAUUGAAAGAGUGAUGAUGAUGCUUGGGAGAUGAAGAUGAGAGGAACGGAAGUCAAAUUCCAAAUGAUUGAGAAAGUGAGUGGGUGGGUGAGUAAAGAUUUUCGACGUCUAAAAUAAACAAAAUAUAAUAAAUUAUGUUGUGAACUUUCGAUGUUGCAUUAAUACUUUGAUUACUUUCAUUAUUUUCAAACUUUUUUUAGUGGUAAUUUAUAGAGAAAUUAGUGUUCCUUACCGAAGAAUUUUACCCUAUUUUAACAAUCUACCAAAAUUUCACUAUUUUUUCACCGUACACAAUCAUAUAUGACCAUGUUACCCCUAUAUUACAACAAGCCAUUAUUGAUUUGAAGUGUUGUCAAAAUCUUGAAGUUAGAUACGCGAAUAUUGUGUUUUCUAUCGUAAUAUCUUCAAAAUUUAAAUCUUCAUCUAUAUUUUUCUCUCAUCUCUCCUAUCCUCUCUAUUUUCUAUCCUUGUACUUUGAAAUUGCAGUCGGCUCAUCCAAAAAUAGAGAACAACAACAAUACACAACCACCAUCCUACCUCAUCCUAAAAAUUGUGAUAUUUCUUUUUUUUUGGACAGGAAAACAAAAAGAAUACACAACCACCGUCAUGCCUCGUCCUAAAGAGUAAGUUUCUCAUUCAGAUUUUUUUUCAGUUAUUGGGUUUGGUAUUUUUUUGGGAUUGAUCUUGGAGAUACCCCGUCCCCCCCCCCCUCCAAGUCUCUAUCUUUGGAGUUAAUUGGGAGUGUGGCUUUUCUUCAUAUGCUUUGUUCCUUAUUUGUCUUCAAUUGAUGUACCGGCACCGGAAAAUACAUUUGAUAGCUUCUAGACUGCUGGUGAUAGCCGCCAAGAGUAUAAAGCCCAGGAUUUUGAAGCCAUGCGGCAUCAGACAAAUUCUCAACGCCCUCGACACCGGUGGAAUUGGUCAUAUUCUCAGUUGUUAUUAAACUCACUAUGAAGAUUAAUCUUGAUCAAUACAACAGCAAUGGAGUGGGUUCUCUAGUUGCAAUUAAAAGCAAUACUUAUUGUUUAUGCAGUGUUUGGAUAAUUAAAUUAUUACCAGUUUACAAAACUGUUAACCGUAAACUUUAUUCAAUGGAUAGUUAGAGAAAUUAUUGUACCAAAACAGUGAAUUCUGAAUAAUUGAAAGUUAUGUUUUCCAUUACCGUUGACAAGCUAUCAAACAAGUUACAUGUCCAACUACCCAAUUAACAAGCUAUCGAACAAGUUACAGGGCCAACUACAAAAUUAACAUGCAAUUUUAUAUCAUAGACUGUAGGGAAUUCAUGGGUUCAAUUUAUGGUUAAAACUAUGAAGUGUAGGGGUAUGAUAACUUAUAGCUUAUCUUAUUAUUAACCUGUUCAUUAAUUUUCUUAGCAUCCAAAAAAUGUUGUAACUAUCCACAUGGAAAAUUGUACAUCUGAUACUGGACUUAUAUUUCUUCUCCAUUACCAGGUCUCAGGCUUAAUGAAAUUGUCUAUGCAGUUUUGCUUAUCGUUUUAUAGUGUUAAGGGUUUAUGAUCAGUGACUUAGUAUCCAAUGUGUUGUUGUUGGGUUUAAUGUUUAUUAUUUUAGGUUUAGGGUUUGGCCAUGUAUGUAAUGCAACCCAGGUCACCAAUAAAUAUACAUAGGUAAAUUGUCAAAACUAUUGUCCAACUAAUAUAUAUUGUAGCUGAGAUAACAAAAUUGUUAUCUGGCCACUAUUAUAUUUACACAUCUAACUAACUAUUUAAAACUAACGAAAGAGAUUAUCUUCUUGUCUUUGUCGUUAAUUCCACCCCUCCCCAUUGUUUCUCAUUCCUAGGUUUUGAUUGAUAGCUCUAGCUUGGUGAUUUGAUAUUUGUAUGGUUUCAAUUCAUUAUUAUGUUUGUUGGGACAAGAUUAUGAUGGUGAAACAUAUUUUCUUCGGGUUUGUGUAUUCAUUAGGAAGAUGAAGAAAAUUUUGAUGAAGAUUAUUGAGAUAAGAAAAGAAGAAGACGACAAUAGAAAGAGAAAGGAAAAUAAUUGUUUUCGAAAAAGAUUUGUUUACUUUUGUUUUGUUGUAUGUUUAAAAUAAAUAAAAAAAAUCUUUAAAAGAUUAUCAAAUCUAGUAGAAUCUUAAACAAAUCCUAAAAGAUCUCUAUUGUCAGACACUAAGCCUAGCAUCCUAAUACUCUGAAGUCAGGUCACCAUGGAUCAAGGUUAUUUUCGUCUUUCUUAUUCGUUUCAGUGUGGUACGUUUGCGUAACUUUUCCCUCUUUGGUACUUAGCUAAUUUCCUCUUCUUCUUAUGUUUUUGACCUAAUUUGCUCUAAUUUAUAAGCCCUCAGAUUGUAAACACUACAAAUAAGCAUAUCUUUGAAUCCUCAAAGCACUUUUAUUAUUGUGACGGAGAUGAGAAGAAAUAAAUUAACAUAUUGAUAAACAUUAAAGAAAAGACAUAGAAAUUUAAUGUGGUUAUGGGACUACACGGGAACAAAGAAAGUACUUUAUUGAUGGAAGCGAGUAUUUCAGAGUACACUUGCUACAGAAUAUGGUAAAACCUUAAAAAUAUAUACUUCUUCCGUUCCAUAAUAUAAGAUCUUUUAUAUGAAUGCACAAGAAUUAAGAAACCUACUUUUAAAAAAGACAAUACCAUUAAUAAUACUAGGUAAGGAACUCGUGCAAUAUCGCACGAAAUUCAGUUUGUAAAAAAAGAAUAUGCCACAUUUUAUAUAAUUAUUUUGAAGAAAUACAUGUGUUAUAAAAAAUCUUACAUGCAGUUAUAUUUUUUAUUAGUUAGUUAUAAUAAAAUUAAAAAUAUGCCAAUACCAAUUAGUAAAGGCACACACAUUAAAGUAUCUAUGCAUUUUUACGUUAUUAUAGUGAACUAAUUUUAUUAAAAACAUAUGCCACUUUGUACAAUCUAUACUUUUAUAGAAAGCAUCUUAUUUUGCUAUGAAAGUAUAAUAAAAUAAGGAGAAAAUACAGAUCUUUAAUUUUUUCAUGAAUUUUAAAAAUGUAUAAUAUAAGUAAAAUGAGAAAUAACCACAAACCAUUUCAAUAAAAAAAUAUUCUAAAUGAAAAAGAUAUAUAAUUGCAUAUAUCAUAUAUUAAUUUACUGAAAAUAUUUGUGGAAUACUUUAUUAGUGACAAUAUUUAUUUCUUUCACUGAUUGUUAUAUCAACCGAAUUAGAACCAAAGUUAAAUGAAUUAGUUUUAUAGUAAAAAUAAAUUCUCGACAAACAAAAAUUUCACUCAAAAAUGAAAUAAGAACAUUGUCUUCAGCCUCAUUGUCGAGGAGCUGAAGGUAAAGAAAGCAACACAUGUUAUUCAAAGCUAUAUAUGAGACAGAGCAUUCAAGAGACUAUAAAUUUUCACUUAAAGCAACGAUGUUAAUCGCAGAAAAAUAAUGUUACAAUUUAAAUAGUUAAAUUUUAGUUAGCAAUAAUCAGCCGGAUUAGAAUGGUUAAUCAUCAAAUAUUAUAAUUGAGCAUCUAAAAUUUGUAAAUAUUUAUAUAAACAAUUACAAAAUUACAUUUAAAAGUAACAACACAAAUAUAUUUACGAACACAUCUUUUUGGUAGUCUUAUCUUGUAGAGGGACAAAUGGCAAGAUAAUUAAAUCCAUCUUCUAAACACUCAAAUCCCAAAAGCAGAUAUAUGCAUUAAAUACAUAAGUACAACAAGCCUUCAUUUUCUUUUUGCUCUGGUUCUUGAGAUUCUGUCACGUUCAUUCUCUUUCAUGUUGUUGUUAUAAUGAUGAUAUAGUUGCACAGCAAGUAGGUUGGCGUCACAAUUUAUUUAUUUAUUUGAAACCUUGUAAAUAUCUGUAUUGCAACGCAAUGAUUGUGAAACCUUGUAAAAACUGAAUUAUCAUCGAAACUUGGCUCACUUUCCACAUGUUCUUCAAGUACAAGCUUCCCCACUUAAACUCAUGCACAGACAAGUGUUGCACUUCAGAAUUAUUUUACUGAAUAAGAAGAAUAUAUACUUAUUUAUUCACAAUUAUCAUAUCAGUUUUCCAAAAUGUCACGAACCAAUCACUGAUAAAACAAUGAAAAUCAGAGUAAACUGCAAUACAAAAACUGGGAGAAAAUACCUAAAUCAGAAAGGAAAGAGAGAAAAAGAAAGUUAAGGGUCGUCGGCCAAUAAUAAGACGCAAUUCACUCAAUCUCCUUCCACACACUGCUAACCAUUCAAAUAGAGAUCUGAUCACAAAGACAUUCAAAUAGCAACAAGCCCUGAAAAUAAAAACGGCAGAAACAAAUACGUAUACUUAAAAAGGAGGACGAUUAACAAAAUUAAAGAGGCAUAAAUUAAUCAGACAUACGACAAGCAGUGUUGAAACCUCUUCAAAGUAGGGAUAUAUUAAAACAAAAAAAUGGUUUACAAACAAUUAUGUUGAAAUUUGUUCUGAGAUUCUGGGUGGAAAGAUGAACACUUCUAUGAAUUGAAUGUCCGCAAACAAAAUUUCCGGAAUUGGAUGUUUUAUAAGCCCUCAGAUUGUAAACACUACAAAUAAGCAUAUCUUUGAAUCGUCAAAGCACUUUGAUUAUUGCGACGGAUAUGAGAAGAAAUAAAUUAACAUAUUGAUAAACAUUAAAGAAAAGACAUAGAAAUUUAAUGCUGUUCUGGGACUACACGUAACAAAAAAAGUACUUUAUUGAUAGAAGCUAGUAUUUCAGAGUACACUUGCUGCAGAAUAUGGUAAAACCUUAAAAAUAUAUAUUCCAUCCAUUCCAUAAUAUAAGAUCUUUUACAUGAAUGCACAAGAAUUAAGAAACUUACUUUUUUAAAAGAUAAUAUCAUUAAUAAUACUAGGUAAGGAACUCGUGCAAUAUCGCACGGAAUUCAUUUUGUAAAAAAAGAAUAUGCCACAUUUUAUAUAAUUGUUUUGAAGAAAUAUAUGUGUUACAAAAAUCUUACAUGCAGUUAUAUUUUUUUUUAGUUAGUUGUAAUAAAAUUAAAAAUAUGUCAAUACCAAUUAGUAAAGGCACACACAUUAAAGUAUCUAUGUAUUUUUAAGUUAUUAUAGUGAACUAAUUUUAUUAAAAACAUAUGCCACUUUGUACAAUCUAUACUUUUGUAGAAAGCAUCUUAUUUUGCUAUGAAUGUAUAAUAAAAUAAGGAGAAAAUACAGAUCUUUAAUUUUUUCAUGAAUUUUAAAAUUGUAUAAUAUAAGUAAAACGAGAAAUAACCACAAACCAUUUCAAUAAAAAAUAUUCUAAAUGAAAAAGAUAUAUAAUUGCAUAUAUCAUAUAUUAAUUUACUGAAAAUAUUUGUGGAAUACUUUAUUAGUGACAAUAUUUAUUUCUUUCACUGAUUGUUAUAUCAACCAAAUUAGAAACAAAGUUAAAUGAAUUAUUUUUAUAGUAAAAAUAAAUUCUCGACAAACAAAAAUUUCACUCAAAAAUGAAAUUAGGACAUUGUCUUCAGCCUCAUUGUCGAGGAGCUGAGGGUAAAGAAAGCAACACAUGUUAUUCAAAGCUAUAUAUGAGACAGGGCAUUUGAGAGACUAUAAAUUUUCACUUAAAGCAACAAUGUUAAUCGCAGAAAAAUAAUGUUAUAAUUUAAAUAGUUAAAUUUUAGUUAGCAAUAAUCAGCCGGAUUAGAAUGGUUAAUCAUCAAAUAUUAUAAUUGAGCAUCUAAAAUUUGUGAAUAUUUAUAUAAACAAUUACAAUAUUACAUUUAAAUAAUUGCAAAUAUUCAUCUAGAUAAUUACAAUUGUUACUUAAAACCAUUGUGGAAAUAAUCCACUUGAAUUUUAAAACAUUAUAAAUUCUUCAAGAUGAAAAAAAACUUCCAUUUCUCCAUAUAUGUUAUUUUUGUCCCAAACCUAUUUUGUUGAAAAUUGAAUAUAAGUCAUAUCUUGUACUUCUGAAAAAUAUUUAUUUAUCUCUAACAAUCUGAUAAAUAUGUUAUCUUAAAACACUAUAUUAGAUUUGUGAUUAAUACUUUCUUAAUAGUUCUAAUUUUUUUUUUUGUCAUCGUCUUAAUAGUUCUAUGUUUUUUUGGGAUUUUAUAAUAUUUCAAAUAUUUAUACAUAGUAGGGUAUAAUUAUUUAUGACAAUUUUCAAUUUGAGAGUAUUUUGAAAGUGAUCUUUAAAUUAGAUUAUGUUAUACAAACUGAAAUAUAGGGUAAACAAUAAAAUAAAGAAGUAUAAUAAUAAGUAUAAUAAAAACCGACAGUUCAAUUGAAACUAAAUUCCAACUGAGCUUGGUAUAUCUUCAUCUCUUAUAGGUUUCAAAAAAUUAGACAGUUACACUAAAGUUGAUUUUUUGUGGAAAGUAGUAUAAAAUUUUGGUGUAACAUUAAUCAUCAGAUGCAAUUUUAAUAAAUUAUUUAGUUUAUUUUAUUUAAUAUUGGAAUUAACUUAAUUUAUUCAUUCAAUUAAAUUUGUAAUUAAAAUACAUAUAAAUUUUUUAAUUAAUAAUGCAUGUAUAGAUUAGUAAAACUAAAAUAGGUAAAUAAAUAAAUAAGUAUAUAAAAUAGUUAAAACAAAAAAUAUUUAUAUAAAAUUAAUGUACAACACUAUAACACAAAAUUUAAUGUUUUGAUUGGAGAUGACAUUUAAAGUAUAUUACUAAACUAAUAAAUUUAAUAUUAUUUCAACAUCCAAUGUAGUGUCAUGGUUGAAGUUGAACCUUAAAUAGCAAUGUUUAUAUAAAUUCUGAUUUGAUUAAAGACAGAUUGUAAUUAAGUAUUAUUUAAUAUUAUUUUCAUCAUAAUUAAGUACCUGACCAACUCAAUAUUGUAAACUUUCUCUAAAGUAUUGCAGUUUCCACAAAUAGGUACUUAUUUUUCCUGGUACUUUUUUUUUUUUGUUCACAACUACCUUACAUUAGAAAUUAAACUAGGUUCAAUACAAGGUUUUUUAGCACAUAUUUGGCUAUUCCAUCCACAUGAGAAACAGAGUUUCUACUGACCCAAUAAAAAGAAACAACAUCAAAAGCCAUAGAUAAAGCAUAAAUAUCACAGAGGAUUCCGUGCAAAUCUAAAACAUUUGAGCCUUCUUUAACUGCCUUCAUCAACCUGCUUGAAUCUGACUCGAAUGAGAUUUGUCUGAAAUCCCAUGAUACUGCGUCUUCCAUUGCUGAUAAUAAAGCCAACCCCUCCGCCACAAGGGGUGAUUUAACAUUUGUAAAAGUAAGGGAUCCUGAGCUUACACGCUCAUUCCCGUUACGUAGAAAUUCCCACGCCACCCCAGUGCAACGUUUCUCACUGUUCCAAGCUGCAUCAGACCUGCAAACCAUAUCACAUCUUGAUCCAAUUCCACUUAUCUCCUUCAGCGCCUUUGGUUGCUCAACCGCAGCCUGCGCCUGUGUCCAUUCCCUCGCAAGUCGGGCCGCCUUUGUCACAAUCUCUUGGGUUGCUAACUUUUCCUCUCGAAAGAUCAGUUGGUUCCUAGCCAACCAAAUACUCCAUAUAAUCCAUGCCGCCAGGUUCUCUGAAAUUACUCCAGUAGGGGGAAGAGCUACUGCUCGGUGGGCCCUUCUCCAUCCCUCCACAAAACUAGUGAUGUUGUUAAAUGAAAUCUCCAUUUUUGAUGGGAAUCUUCUCCACACCUCUUGUGCAACUGGACAUAGGAAAAAUAAAUGUAUUAUUGUCUCCGCUUCAUCACAGCUACAACACUUGAGAUUUGGGAUUAUUUGACGGGCUGCAAGUCUCUCAUUAACUGGGAGGGCAUUAUGAUACGCCUUCCAUAUUAGAAGUUUCAUCUUUGGUGGCAUGUGCAUUACCCAUAUGUCCUUAAUCCAUCUGCUAGGUUCUCCUGUUAUCCUUUGCAAUGUUGGGUUAAUUGCUCUCCUCUCUAAAGCUGCAACAUAUCCCGUUUUUGCAGUGUAUUCUCCUGAAGGGUUCCUCAACCAAAUUCGUUUAUCUGGUCCUCCCUUCCUGCUUGUUUUAAUGCUCAAGAUUGUUGUCUUCAGCUCUGGUAGUAGGCUUUCCACCUUUUCCUGAUCCCAUUCUCUCGAUCCCUCCUGAAAUAGAGACGAUACCAAGAAAUCUUUUGAAGCUUCCGUUGCAGGGCCCAUAAUUACCUCUCUCCGCUCUGUCGAUAUCCAAGCCUCAUCCCAGAUCUUUACUGAUUCUCCAUCUCCUAUCGCCCAUCCCAGAUGUUCAGCCAAAAGAUCUCUGCCAACCAAGAUACCGCGCCAGCCAUGAGAACACACCGCAGCUGGUUGAACUUCUAAGAAAGGGCUGUAUUUGCAAUACUUUCCCGUAAGGAUUCUGUCGAGUAGGCUCUGAGGUUUCAUAAUUAUUCUCCAGCUUAGUUUCCCGAGCAGAGCGUCAUUGAAACAUUCAAUAUCUCGGAAUCCCAAACUGCCAUCUCCUUUGGUCUUUGUAAGCGUGUCCCAUGAUAUCCAAGCCAGUUUUCUCUCAUCCGGUUUCGAAUCCCACCAAAACCUAGUCAAGGCUGAUUGAAUAUGUUUUACCAUAGACAUAGGUAAUUUGAAGCACGACAUUGUGUGAGUCGGCAUUGCCGCCAGUAUACUCUUCAGCAUCACCAGCUUGCCCGCGACAGAUAAUCUUUUUGUUGACAAACUGCAGGCUUUCUGUCGAAUUUUGUCUACCACCCCUGAGAAAAGAUCCUUCUUUUUCCUACCAAAAUGCUCGGGGAGCCCGAGGUACUUUCCCACCCCUCCUUCCUUUUCUAUCAGCAGCUCGUUUUUCACUCUAUCUCUUAGCUCCAGAGGUGCCAAUUUGGAGAAAGUUAUUGCUGAUUUAUCCUUGUUUAUUUUCCGAACCGACGCUUGCUCAUAAAGAAGCAAAAUAUCCUUCAACGCCUUCACGCUUUUCUUGUUUGUACGGCAGAAAAACAUCGUAUCGUCCGCAAAGAGUAGAUGGUUCACUCGGGGGCAUUCUGUUGCUACUCUAAUACCCUGUAGCUUCCCCUCCCUUUGUGCCUUCAAACACAGGCCCGACAGUACCUCGCUGCAUAAGAUGAAUAGGUACGGUGAUAGCGGGUCUCCUUGACGGAUUCCCCUUCCCGGUAUAACUCUUCCUUUCGCUGUUCCAUUCAUCAGGUAUGAGAAGGACACGGUUCUGACACACUGCAUGAUGGUCGUCACCCAUUUCUCAUGAAAGCCAAACCGUUGAAGUACUGAUUCAAUGAAACUCCAUUCGAGCCUAUCAUAAGCUUUGCUCAUGUCGGUUUUGACUGCCAUGGAACACCUCUUACUCGCCUCAGACGUCUUAAGGAAGUGAAGCACUUCGUGAGUAAUCAAAACGUUGUCCGAUAUGGCUCUGUUGGGGACGAAUGCUGACUGAUUUUCUGAAAUUAACUCAUCUAGGAUCGGAUGGAGUCUUUUCGUCAAGAGUUUCGAGAUUAUUUUGUAGUAGACGUUGCAUAGCGCAAUUGGUCUAUAAUCUGAUACACUCCUUGGGCCGUGUACCUUGGGAAUUAAACGGAUAUGAGUCUCAUUUAUUCCCUAUGGUAGUCGGCCUGUAUCGAAAAAACUCUGGAUCUCUGAGAUGAUCUCAUCCUUGAUAGUUUCCCAAUUUGUCUGAAAGAAGCCUGCGGAAAACCCGUCGGGUCCUGGCGCUUUAUCUUAAUGUAUAGAGAAUAGCGCUGCUCUGAUCUCGUUGGCGCUCGGAAUACUGAUCAGUAUCUCAUUAUUUUCUUCCGAGAUCAUUGGUGUUAUCGCUGCUUCUACAAUAUGUUUAUGUUCUUCCUCUUUCGAGGUGAAAAGAUCUGUGAAAUACUUCACGAUAGUGGAGGCGAUUUCCUCUUCCUUGUAAUGCACGACACCCGCUGUAUCCUCCAUCACAGUGAUAUUGUUUAUCGCCUUCCUGCCUUUUGUGAUGGAGUGAAAGUACCCCGUAUUUUUGUCUCCCAAGCUCAGCCACAGAAUUCUACUUCUUUGCCUCCAAAACUCUUCUUCAGCUUUAUAGGCUUCUCUCAGCUCUUGAUUUAUUUGGAAAAUACGCUCUCCAUCAUUUAGAGGACUUACCAUUGCCUCUUCGAGUUCUUGCUUUCGUGUAUCUAUGAUGGUACGACUGUUAGCUUGUUGUUCCUUGUUCCAUCUCACGAUGGCUCCUCUCAAACUGAUGAUCUUCUGAGCUACUGUCUCCCCUCUAGGACCCUUCCAGGUACUUGCAAUUAGAUCCUUCACCAAGGGGUUGUUCUUUAGUCUCCUGUCGAACCGGAAUAGUCCUUUUCCUUUUUUCCUCGUCACGUCAAAACAAAUGAUGAUAGGCUUAUGAUCAGAUCCUUCAUAAUUCAAGUACUCCGAGUGUCCUGAUCCAAAACUCUCAAACCACUCACUGUUGGCCAUGGCGCUAUCCAAGCGUCAGUGGACUACUCCUUCACUUCGGACCCCCCUCCAAGAAAGAAAAUCACCCGAAUGAUAGAGGUCAUACAGAUCAUUUUCCGAUACAAAAGUACGAAAAUCAACAAACGAGCCUUCUGUUCUUUCUACUCCUCCCUCCUUAUCUUGGUUGUUGAGCAUGUCAUUGAAAUCACUGGUGACAAACCAUGCUCCAUUUCUGUCUGCCGCGGUGUCUGUGAGCUCUCUCCAGAUCUGUCUUCGCUUUACUAUGUCCGUAUGACCAUAAAUGAAAAUCGCAUAAAAUACUUUUCCUUCAUAUCGCAGCAUUGUAUCAAUAAAAUUUUUGCAAGAGUUCAAAACCAUCAAUUCGAUUUCAGCUUUCCAAAACAGAGCAAGUCCUCCACCCCUUUGAUCAGUAGGGGGAUCAAAUGAUUGUUUACAAAUUCUGACGAUUGAAACUUCCGGAGCACAACGUCGUCAGCGUUCAUUGUCUCUGAGAGGAAGAAAAUAUCCGGGUUAAUACAUUUCCGUAUUUCCCCUAUCCGCUGGACUGUCUGAGGGUUCCCCAGCCCCCGACAGUUCCAGCUUGCUAUCUUUAAGGAGCUGGAUUGGAUGGAUUGUGAAAAUCCAUCUUUUUCUUUGAAGCCGCCGGGAAAACCUUCGUCUUUGGAUUUGAAGUUGACGCUCCGACUGCUUGGUUAAGCAACUCGGUCUUCUUUGAGUUAACCGUCUGUCUCCCCACUCGCCUCUUUGGGGAUCCUUUCAGCUGUGCAACCUUUCUUGAUUUUGUUGAGGCCGCUCCUGCACGCGUCGAAAUAACUCCAAGUUUCCUAACCACUGGGGGUCUGCCCAGACGUUUCUUGGCUGACACUCUCCCCUGCUGGCUUGAAAUUUCUCCUUCCUGGUCUGAAAGGGAUACGCCUCCCAGCCGGCAUGUCGCUGGUACUCUUGGAGGAACCACUUCCGGGCUUUCAGCUUGCACCCAGGUUCUUUGGACGUUCAGCAUUUGUCUGGCCAUAUUUUCCGCUGUUUCUUCUACUUCUUCUACUUCUCCUUGUUCUUCUGCCCUCCUCACUCUCUCCCUCCUCGCUGCACUUUCGGUUGGGUCAGCACACGAGGUAUAUUGGAUCAUUACUUCUCUCAGUUCUUCCCUUACUACCUCCAGUACUUCGUUGGGAAUUUCCUCUAGCUGAGGCGCAGCUCUUGGGACGUGAGUUUUUACUGAUUUAAGUGGGGAUCUUGGGAUCACUCCAUCUUCGGGGUUAUUCGGCUGCCUUUCCUUGUUCAGGUUUCUCCUACCAGUUUCAGAGAAAGGUUCACCACUCCUGCUUCCAAAACUGUCGACGGUUCUGUUUGUGGUAGGGAAGCGUCGUCCAGAGUCCACCCAUCUUUCUUCUCUUCUGCUGCUGUUGUGAUGGGCGCCUUCUUUUAAAUAGCUUGUAUCUCUUCUACUACAAGUUUCAUAGGCUCUAGGAACCCUCGAGUCAUAAGGUCCCACUGAUCUGUGGGAACGUUCUCUACCUUCCCAAGAGUAAUGAUCUCUUUAACCUCUCGAGCGAUCGAACCUUCUCUGCCCUUGCUUCUCACGGUACUGGUUGUCUCUUCUUUCAUCAUGGUUGUGGCGGGCCCUUGGAACUUGAUAACGAUCCUGCCUCAAUGGUUCUCUAUCUCUUAGAUGAACAUUACGAGCGUUUACUCUUCUUUGCUCUACUAACUCAGGGCAACCCUCUUCCUCGUGAUCCAACUUUGAGCAGUGUAGACAAUGUUUGUCAAGCUUUUCAUAUAAUAACGUAGCUAUGAUUUCUCCUCCCGCUGCAAACUCCAGCGUAUACUGUUUUAGUAUCGGUAGCAGGCCAUUUAUCUGCACUCUCAUGCGCAGAUUCCCCGGCGUGAUGUCACAACCUAGAUAAAUCCCGAGAUCCUCUCCCAUACUUCUUAAGAUAUCUUCCCUCCAGAGGUGGAGAGGGACUCCGUGCACCCGUAUCCAAAACGGGAUUUGAGAUGGAAAGGAUGCAGACAUUGUAGGUUCCCAUUUUUGGAGGAUAACCAUCCAUUUGGCAAAAUGGUAAGGUCUUUUCUCGAGAACUAAAGCCAUAUCCUCUGCAUUCGCAAAUUGAAACUGGAAAAGUCCUUGCCCCAGAUCUGCUCCAAUAGGUCUUGAACUUGUUUUCCACAUAUCCGAGAAGAAUGGAAUUAACGACCAGACCCGUUGAUACUUGAGAUUUGUUACUCUUCCCACCAACGUAAGCUCAUGUUUCUGUAUCAUCUCGGUGGUAUCGACCUCAGGGACCAAGAUUCUCCCAGAACGAAGAGGUUCAGAGGUUUGAGCCACUCCUUUGCCUUUCUCAUCGUAGGUUAAACGUCUCGCCAUUACUUCUUCUUAUAUUUUCCAACAAAAAGGUUCUUCACCACACAGGUGAGAAGGUUCUGUAGGACUUAGUCACUACGAAUUUUGUACCCUUGCAGAGAAUCCUUUGUUCUUACUGCAGAAAACUCAAACCAAAGAAACAACAGCCGGUCUCCAGCGAAACAGUCGGUCCAUGGUGAGCAUAAGUUUACUGAAAAAACCUUACCGGAGCUUGGCGGCGGCGGUCCCUCCAUGGAUUAGCUCAGGUCGGUAAAUUAUCCAGUAGGUAAAGCCCCAAAACGGCAAAAGAUUCGAAAAAAUAGGUGAAUGUUCAGAGAAUUAUGGAAGGUUUGGUGAAAGUGUCAGGAAAAGCAACGGGGUUGUACACGAGACCGGCGGUUAAAGACUUUUCUAGACAAAAGUGCCUGGGAGAACUUUCUCACACCUCUCUCUUUCAGAUCUCUCAGAUUCAAAAUAUUUUUCCUGGUACUUAUUCACAUCAUUUUAUCCUCUUAAUCAAAAAAUUCAUAUAAAAACGCUAAUUUAGAUUUGUACUUUUUUCUAAAAAGACAUAUUAUAUUUUUCAAUUAUUAAACAAUAAAAAUCAGAACAUAUUUAUAUCUAUUAUUACUAAAAACUAUCCAUAUAAACGAUCAAGUUUAAACAAUCUAAAAGUUGAUAUUAUAUCCAUAAAUAGCCAUAAUCUUACAAUCUCACCUUUUUAUUGUGUGUAAAUUCCUCAUAUAUUAACUUCUUUGAAUCUGGUACGACCAAUAAAAAAUGAUAAUAAACAAUAAAUAUUCUGAUUUUCAUAAGGAAUUCUAACCCGUAUACCGGAUAAAACAGUGUAUAUAUUAAAGAAACAAAGCUAUGCCUAUAGUAUAUUGAAAAAGACAUUCGACUUAGGCCCCUGAUUAAUAUAAAUUUUUUGGGACCCCAAAAUUUGAAAUAAUACUUUCCACUAGAAUUCGAAUAGUUCACCUUCUGAAUUCAACAUUUUUUUUCUAUAUGAUAUAAUUAUAUCAUAUUUACUUAAUAAACUUAAUUUUUUAUAAUUUUACACUUAUGUAUUUGGUGAAGAUGAUAGAUUGUAUUAAAAAUACGUUUUAAUAUUUUUUUUUUAAACUUGCCUUAGACCCCUAAUACCCUUCGUACGGUAAAAGAAAGCGUUCUCCCUCCUCUUGGCCAGAAUGUUCACUCCGCCUGCCUAUCUUCGCAUCCUACGCGAGAUUAACCGGUGAUUAAUCCUCGAGUGAUCCAAUAUCGAUCGAUGACGCUGAACAGCUGCACGCGAGAUUAACCGUUCAUGACAAGUUUCAAGCAUCGCUGAAUCUAAAAGUAACAACACAAAUAUAUUUACGAACACAUCGUUGGUUUCUUCACAUCUUUUUUGGUAGUCUUAACUUGUAGAGGGACAAAUGGCAAGAUAAUUAAAUCCAUCUUCUAAACACUCAAAUCCCAAAAGCAGAUAUAUGCAUUAAAUACAUAAGUACAACAAGCCUUCAUUUUCUUUUUGCUAUGGUUCUUGAGAUUCAGUCACGUUCAUUCUCUUUCAUGUUGUUGUUAUAAUGAUGAUAUAGUUGCACAGCAAGUAGGUUGGCGUCACAAUUUAUUUAUUUAUUUAUUUGAAACCUUGGAAAUAUAUGUAUUGCAACGCAAUGAUUGUGAAACCUUGUAAAUAUUGAAUUAUCAUCGAAACUUGGCUCACUUUCCACAUAUUCUUCAAGUACAAGCUUCCCCACUUAAACUCAUGCACAGACAAGUGUUGCACUUGAGAAUUAUUUUACUGAAUAAGAAGAAUAUAUACUUAUUUAUUCACAAUUAUCAUAUCAGUUUUCCAAAAUGUCACGAACCAAUCACUGAUAAAACAAUGAAAAUCAGAGUAAACUGCAAUACAAAAACUGGGAGAAAGUACCUAAAUCAGAAAGGAAAGAGAGAAAAAGAAAGUUACAAGGGGCUCGUUCGUCACUCAAUCUCCUUGCACGCACUGCUAACCAUUCAAAUAGAGAUCUGAUCACAAAGACAUUCAAAUAGCGACAAGCCCUGAAAAUUAAAACGGCAGAAACAAAUAUGUAUACUUAAAAAGGAGGACGAUUAACAAAAUUAAAGAGGCAUAAAUUAAUCAGACAUGACUAGCAGUGUUGGAAACUCUUCAAAGUAGGGAUAUAUUAAAACAAACAAAUGGUUUACAAACAAUUAUGUUGAAAUUUGUUCUGAGAUUCUGGGUGGAAAGAUGGACACUUCUAUGAAUUGAAUGUCCGCAAACAAAAUUUCCGGAAUUGGAUGUUAAAGGAGACGGGAGCGAUAAAAAACGGGUGAGAGAAAACUUGAUGAAUGAACUCUAAAAAACUGCAAACCUGUACGGUCUAUUCUAUAAAUAAGUUUUUGAACAGAGACAACUCUUGGAGAUGAUGACGGUUCUACAAUUUGUCUAAGAUGAUACGCCUUUGAAGAGUUGUGACUUAUCAUUAAACAAAAUUUUAUCCAAUAGAUUAUAUAUGCAGAGGACAAUUACCACCGUUGGAUAUGAUUUUUCCUAUUAAAAAGGUGACGUGAGCAGUUAGAAAAAAACCAGGCUUGCUAUUAUAUGACACCUAUUUCUACAUUUAAAAAAAAAGCAAUCUUUAAAAUAUAAAUACAAUGUUUAAAGAAUAAAACAUACAAAACAUAACAAAUAGAAUCUAAAAUUUAUCUUUUGGAUGUAAAUUUACAUUUCUAUAACGAAAAGACACAUUUAAACUUUUUCACAUUUUUUUUCAAUAGUUACAUGUUGAAAAGAUCCAACCUUUCAAAAUUAAUUAAAAUUCAAUAAAUGUGAAAUGAUGCAAUUUUUCAUCUUGAACAUUAGUUAUUAUAGAUUGUGAAAAUAUAUAUAAAAAGUGUCUUCUUUUUGUAAAAAAAUAUAUGAAUAAUCACAACUUUUCAUAUUUUAGGUUAUUUUAUUUCAAAUAGCACUUUUCAAAUAGCACAUUUAUAUGAAAAGACAACAUAACAUUUAUUCACAAAUAUUGAAAACAGUUUUAUAUUGAAGAGAUACAACCUUUAAUCAAAAGGCAGAACAAACAUAAUUUUUAACAAAAAAAUAAGAUAUGAAAAGACACAAUAUAACAUUUUUUUUUGACACAACACAACAUUUAUUCACAAAAUUUUAAAACAGUUUCAUAUCAAAGAGAUACAACCUUUAAUCAAAAGACACCUUAAUGAACAAACACAAAUUUUAACAAAAAAUUGAAAUUUCUAUAAACGCACACAACUUUGAAAUUAAUUGGGAUUGCUAUUAUUAGUAGAUAAAUUGAAAAUAAGUUAAUCAAUCAUAAAUAAUAUAGUAAAACUUUCAAUAAAGUAUCAUAACAUCUUAUAUUUUGAUACAUAACUUUUCCGAAACAUCUUAUAUUAUGGAACAGAGGACUAUAAAAAGUGUUUAAUGAAACUUUCAAGCACGGGAUUGAACGAUCCGCGCAAGGAUCGAUAGAUCGCGGAUCGAUAGAUCCCCGCCAAGGAUCGACAUAUCCUUUACAGAGAUCGGUAGAUCCACACUACUAGAUCGACCGAUCUACGUCAUAUUUAAACAAAUCUUCUUGUAUAUAGAAAUAUAAGCAAUAUACAUAUACUUUUUGUUGUUCUCUCUAUUCUUCGUAUUCUCUUUCGUUCUCUGAUAUUUUACUCUAAACUCUAUCCUUUCCUAACCCUUUAACAAAGUUUUCUGUAAGUAAAAGUAAAUUUGUAGCCUCUUUUCUUGUGGGAUUUGUUCUGCCUACUCCCAAAGAUGAUAUGGAUGUCCACAUCGGUGAACCUCGUCGGCGGUCAAAAAAAUUUACAAAAUAUAUGAAUAAUCACAACUUUUCAUAUUUUAGGUUAUUUUAUUUCAAAUAGCACUUUUCAAAUAGCACAUUUAUAUGAAAAGACAACAUAACAUUUAUUCACAAAUAUUGAAAACAGUUUUAUAUUGAAGAGAUACAACCUUUAAUCAAAAGGCAGAACAAACAUAAUUUUUAACAAAAAAAUAAGAUAUGAAAAGACACAAUAUAACAUUUUUUUUUGACACAACACAACAUUUAUUCACAAAAUUUUAAAACAGUUUCAUAUCAAAGAGAUACAACCUUUAAUCAAAAGACACCUUAAUGAACAAACACAAAUUUUAACAAAAAAUUGAAAUUUCUAUAAACGCACACAACUUUGAAAUUAAUUGGGAUUGCUAUUAUUAGUAGAUAAAUUGAAAAUAAGUUAAUCAAUCAUAAAUAAUAUAGUAAAACUUUCAAUAAAGUAUCAUAACAUCUUAUAUUUUGAUACAUAACUUUUCCGAAACAUCUUAUAUUAUGGAACAGAGGACUAUAAAAAGUGUUUAAUGAAACUUUCAAGCACGGGAUUGAACGAUCCGCGCAAGGAUCGAUAGAUCGCGGAUCGAUAGAUCCCCGCCAAGGAUCGACAUAUCCUUUACAGAGAUCGGUAGAUCCACACUACUAGAUCGACCGAUCUACGUCAUAUUUAAACAAAUCUUCUUGUAUAUAGAAAUAUAAGCAAUAUACAUAUACUUUUUGUUGUUCUCUCUAUUCUUCGUAUUCUCUUUCGUUCUCUGAUAUUUUACUCUAAACUCUAUCCUUUCCUAACCCUUUAACAAAGUUUUCUGUAAGUAAAAGUAAAUUUGUAGCCUCUUUUCUUGUGGGAUUUGUUCUGCCUACUAAACGGUUUCCACAUUGGUUACUCAGUUUCUUCAAAACUAGAUAAUUUUGUUUUGGUUUGGGAAAAUUAGAAAGGAAAGCUUAAGUGUUUAAAUGGUUUGCCACGACAAGUUAUCAUCUAGUUAUGAUUUAUAUAAAUAUAUUCACCUACUCAGUCUUGUUAAAGAAAAUCAUCUCUUGUUGGCUUUGACCAAAGAUCUUUUAUCCUCUAGUUAUGAACAUAUAACGAGAUCAUCAUCUUACCUAUACUUUGAUCACUAAUCGUAUUUAUAAACAUAUAGAUGCGAUCAUCGCACAUGUAUUUUGCUCCCAUUUCCAGGAAGCAAAGCAGAUGCUGUGGAGAACGAACAUAAGAAAAUGGGCCAUUUGAUAAACAUUUUAAAGACACUAUAAUGAUUCGAAGACAAUUCGGGAUUGAGACAAAGUCAAUGUUCUUUAAACUUUUAUUCCAUGUGGCAGUGAGGUCUGAGACUAACUCAAUAACCGUAUUGCGUCUUCGGUGAGUUCAUUGAUCGUUAAGCCAUGGCGUGCCAAGCCAACCGUGCCCGAGAAUAUAUCAAAGUUCUCAACCUCAGCUGCAGUCUCAAAGACUGUCUCUAAUUCAUUCUUCAUCCCAAGGGUUAGGAAAGUGUUGACCGUCUCAGGAUUAGUUCUCAUCAUCUGAAUGGUUAGUUCAAUUGCAAACCUCCUGAUUCUUGGAACUUUUGGCACCGGCUGUUCAUGUCUCUUGAGAAUGUUGACUAAUGCAGUGGCUAGUUCUUCCUUGGUUACUCCUGCUUCCUCGAACAAUUCUCUUGAUUCUUCAGCACUCAUUAACCUGAAAAUGUGCGGUGCUAAUCCCACCAUAACCUCUUGAGGUUUGCUCUUUUCAGACAUUAUUGCCUUAAGAACCUGUAGUGUGACAAGAUAACAUUUAGUGAUGAUAAUGAAUUCUAUCUAAUCAAGAUCAUCAAGACUUACUGUUGCUCCAGCUGAUUUAACUUCCUUCAGCUGUUCCUUAACUUGAUUAGGAUCUGUAUAUGCACAUAUAUUCCUCAAGAUUCUCGCUGCAUUCGACCGAAUCAAAGGGUUGUUCAAAGCCUCAACAAGGCCCGGAAGAACAUCAUCUGAUCUCAACAUCCGCUGGCAAUUGCUCUGACUUCCUUGAGCUAGCAUUGCUAUAGUCUCACCAACAGAGUCUCUCACUCCACUAGUCUGAUUCCCUGGAAUAUCAUCAUUCAAGAAUAUGCAGAGAAGUCCAUUUAGAACCCCGCCUGUGCCGCCAAUUUUCUCAGUUGCACCUUCGUCAAGCGCAAGGAAAGUCAAGAUCUCUGCACCAAGCUUCUGCAAACCAGGCUGCUUCUUUCCAUGGCGUAAUGUUUCCCUAAUGUUGCUUACUGUGAAGACAAUGCCGGAGAUAUCUCUCCUCAAGUUUCUCCCUGUUGCACCCGUUGUUUUCACCAGCUUCCUUAACAGCUUCAAUGACCGUUUCACAGCCAAGAUCUUAUUAGACGCAAGAUUUGGAUCUUUCAGCAACCUCUUCUCAGCAUAAGUGAAGUCAAUGAUCUUUGAAAGCAACCCUUUUGUUUUCCCAAUCUUCACACAGUUAUCAUGAUCUCUAGCUAGCCUUUUCAAAAUCAACAGUCCAAGAUUGUUGAACGUCCAGCGAUCGGUUUGAUUGAUACUGUUUUCUCCAAUCUCAUCAGUGGCUUGACCCGAAUCUCUCGUGCUAUCUAAAAUAGAAGAUAUGGACUCAAUCGCUCCAGGGAUCCCUGCAACUCUCAGAGAGUUUUGCUUCUUACUAGCUAAUCUUGAGAGAAUCUCUGCAGAUGACAUUCUCAUAACUUCUUGAUUCUUGUUUCUCCAAUUCAACAUCUCAACCAACCUCUCUAUGAUCUCCAGGUUGGUCCCAAUCUUCUGCAGGGUAUCAACCGAAUAGUCUUCGCUUGUUGAGAAUCUAUAGAGAAUCUCUGCUCCAAUGAGCUGCUCAUCAGGAGAAUUUGACACCAAAAGCUCCAUGGCGAAAACGACCAUAUCCAUCUUCAAUCCGUCAAAGAUGCUCCCGUUUAGACAUCUUGAGUAAGCAUUGUAGAAGAAUCUUCUCACUGAAUCAGUUCCAGACCUCUCGAGACCUCAUUCUUGAUUCACUUUAUCAAGAAUCUUGUAAACGCUGAUCAUCCACUCCCAGUAAGCUUUCUCAACAAGAAAGAGAAGAGCCUCCGCGAGCGCUAGAGAGUAGAAGAGAGUUAAAGAGGAGUGAAGAUUGGUGCUUCUGGAUUUCAAUUCGCUGCCUCCAUAAUCUUGCCUGAUGAGCUUGAUCAUGGAGAUGAUAAUGCUAGCGAAAGCAGAAGCAAUCUGGAGCCAGUAGCAGAAUCGACUCACGUUUCUUGAAACGAAAACCCAUCCUGUGUAAGGCAACAUUGGAACAUCUGAGCUUGUCCAUGUCCUGGUCCGCUCGAUCUGCCUCGGAGUCCUCUGUUCUGUUUUACUUUCCUGAACCGAUGAUCUAUCGUUGUUCCCAGAAAUAUGAGCUUCCUUGCGGAAUAUUCUGAUAAACUGUCUGACAAGUAACCGGAAGGUGUUGAUUCCAGAGAUUGUGUAUUUAGACUGAUGCUGCAUUUCAAGCUCAUGGCUUCUGCUGAAGAUCCGAGCUCCUUCGACAACAAGAAUCACAGUAACAAACCAAAAAUCUGAUGUCUCUAAACUUGCGGCGAAACCACCAAGAAGAACAACGGAGGCCCAUACGAAUCCUAAAGAUCCCAACCGUGAAGCAAUCUGUGGUUACAAGUUCAUUAAGAACACAUUAAAAACUUAAGAAAACAGACUCAUAAAUUUAUUUAUUUUUUAAACAGAAGAAUAUCGUAAUAUAAACAACCUUCUCAAGAACAGCGAGUCGUAAGGCAAAAAGAGUCAGUUUUUUCUCCGGGGCAGGAGCUGACAAGUGUGUCUGUCUCCUAGGUUCUGGGGUCAAUGCGUUGUCUGGUAGGAAAAUAUUUCCUCCAGAAGAACUGACAUGUACAACCACAUCCGUAGUUUGAUCAACCAUUUGAAACAAAACAGAGGAGAAAGAAAUGUUCUUGUUUUGGUUUUGACGCAUAUAAUUUGAUUUAUAUCUAAAAGAAAGGACACUAUGAAGUUGCUUUUUUAAGUAUUGGACAUUCACCAUGCACGUCUUUGAGUUCAAUCCAUUGACUUUUGGAAGACAAUGCCUCUUAGACAACAACCUUGUACGAACCAUUGGUUACACAAACCAAUAGUAUUUUGCCAUUUUAUAAAGAGUGUCAUUUUAACUUUUUUUUUUUUACGCAAAAAACUUUAUUCAAGAAUUUCAAUGCAAAUAAUAUUUACUUUCACUUGAAAAUUAAUUGCGAACAACAUUGAGUUUAUAAAUAAUUUUAUUUAUCUAAAAUUAUUGGUCAAAAAAAAGUAAUUAAUAACAAUUUAAAUACAACUGACAAAAAAAUAACAAUUUAAAUACAUUUUAAUCACUUUAUUAAUCUGUAUGAAAAAUGUCAAAAUAACACUUAUUCAGAAACAGAAAAAGUAUAUAAUAGCAUUUUAAUCCCGUUUAUUGUUUUUUUUUUAUAAACCCUAUCGGUUGAUCUGGUCGGUCCCGGAAGAAACGCAUUUAGUGCUAUAAAGUGGACUAGCCCGAAAGCGUACCACACUGCCUAAUCCGAGUUUGGAAUAUCUUUUGACUAAUGCAAGGGAGUGGACCGAUCUUCUGUUAUGGUCCACCAUGUAAACCACUUGGGCUAAAUCCCAAACCAAAACUGGCCAAGUGGUGAUAAUUUAGUUUCCAGAGAAAAUCGAACUCAUCAGGUACACUAGGUACACUGUGUAACAAUAAUAAGUAGCCACGUUAUUAUUGUUAUAUAAUAACUUUUAUUAAUCUUGUUUAUUUUUAUUUUUAAUAAUGUAUAUGUAUACCAAAUAAUCAUCGAAAGUGUUGUUAACUAAAAGCAUUUAAGUAUUGAACGUUUUAGGAACGAUCGUAUCAUUGUGAAUCUUGUAAUGGUUGAGCUGGAUAUAUCAAAUCAUAGGGUCAUAAUCAUGUCAAUGUAUUAAUUUUCUUUUCUAAAGCAAUUGCACGAUUCAAAGAUCAUAGUGACUUUAUUUUGCUAGAGAUGCAAACGUCUUAACGCACGUCGCUUGCAUUCUGAAAAUACAUGACGAGGCAUGUUCUGACAUCAAUAUAAUAUUUAAUCAAAUAAUUAUUAAUUGCAACUAACUAAACAAAAUUUGAGUACGUAAUAUCGUCGUGAUCAAGUUAUAUAUAUUGCAAGAGAAAACCAAUGAAUCAUUUAGCAAUUUUAUAAUCAACUAGAUAUUUUCUUGGCGCGCUACGCAUGGCUAUGUCUUUUGAAUUUAUACUCAGAGAAAUUGCCAAAAUGGAACAAAAAAACAAUAUAAUUGUCUUUAUGGUAUAAAACCAUUUUAUCCAUUUUUUUUCUCUCUUUUACCUUUUCAUUUUUGAAAAUUAAUGAAAUAAAUAUUUUUAUGAAUUCAAAAAAAUAUUAGAAAUAUAAACAAUUAAUAAAACACCUAUAUACAUAAACACAUUUUUUUUGGUUGAAAAACUUGAUAAAUAAAAUUUUAAAAUUACGUUCUACUAAAAGUAGAGUUCGUCUUCUACAGAAAAUGGGUAAGUAGAAAACGAAUUCCAGAACAAACAAGUUCAUCUACUUUUUUUAGAAAAAACAAUCUACUUGUGAUUAAAAUUCUAAAUAUGAGGAAUGCAAAUUCUACUAGUUGUAAAGAUUUCUACUUUUAUCUUGAAUACAAUUUCUACUUUUUAUGAGAAAUCUAAACUUAAUACAAACGUCUACAAGAAGUAGAAAUUGUAUUCAUGAUUUUUAUUAUGAUUCUACACAGUGUAGAAGGUGUCUUCUACGGAUAAAAAAAUUGGUUUUCCGAAAAUUAAAGAAGUUUUAGUUAAAAAAAUAUUCUAAAAAUAUUCUAAUUUCCUAAAACGUAUUCUGGUCGAUUUUCUUUAUCAAAAUAUCAAAAAAAAAUGAUGUUGGUUUUUCUUCUUCAUCAAUCUAUGAUUUCUCUAUAGUUUGUCAUUUGAUUUUCACACUCUUGUUCUACGACUAAGGAACAAAUUUUUGGUAGUUUCAUGCAUCGUGUGAAACUACUUAAUUUUCUUGGUUGCUGCUAGUAGUUCGAGCAUGUCUUAUACUUUGUUCUUUUUUUUUGAAAUCUCAUGUGGUAAACUUUUUAAUAUCACCUAAAACAUUAUCAUAACGAGUCCUAUGCCAAUGUCAUAAUAGCUUCAGGAUACAGAUUAACUAUCAUAAAAGAAAGCUAGAAAGCGCCGAUGGUGGCUGUCCCUGUCCACGGGUUACCGAAAUAUACACGCUUGAGGACUUGUUGACUUCACCCGCUAUAUCAUAGUAAGAACCAGGAUCUACGAUGACUGUCACGAGCUUGUUCACCAUCUGCGCAACUUUAGCGGGUUGCCAAAUCUAACUUUUUAGUAUUCCUUUCAAACCAGAAACCACCACAAAUCAUUCAAUGCACACGUUUUAUAUGUAUACUGAUAUAAAAUAAGGAGAAAUGAGUUACCUUUCUCGAGAAGCAAGUCAACGUCUUUAUCAGUGUCAAUGAGAUAAUCUAAGAAUAAGGCGUAGCUAUAGACGUGGUUGUGUUUAGGGUAAUGGCACUGCUCAAGAGCUAUUAUGUUUCUCAGUUUUAUCUCACGGCUGUCAUGCAAAGAAGAAAGAGAUAGUUUAGACAUAACACAAAAUCAUAUAGGAUCUGAAAAAAUCAAUCGAAGAAAUAUCAAAACCGAAAACAAAAAAAACUAAAGAGAAACUGGAAGGAAAUAGUUUCGAGUUUUACCUUGCUUCUAGGAAUGUUGGAGAAAGAGAGAGGCGUAGAUACAGAGGCGUAGAGGCGGAGAGGCGAAGAGGUGUAGCGGCUGAUAUAAAAAUCUAUUUAAGUAUUCAAAAAAAUAGUUUUUUAAAAGGUGUCUAACCACCGCAUACCGAUUAUUUGAACACUAAAAGAUGUUUAUUAACGUUGUUGUACCUGAUAUCCGAAACUUUACGACAUUCUCUUACACCAAAAUCUUAGACAGCAUCUGCUUGCUGUCAAGGCAAGGGGCCAUGCGUAUUUGGAGAAAGGACUACACACCUGGUUUGGAACAAGGCACGUUCCAAAUCCAUCACGAAGGCUGUGAAGACUUUUUUUAUUUUAUAGUUGAAUGAGUAUAUAAAUAAAAACAUAAGCACUAGAUGUAACUUAGUUUUUUGCUUGAAAUAAUUAUACAUUCAAUCAAUAUAUAUAUAUAUAUAUAUAUAUAGUAUCUUUAGCUAUCACCAACUCAAUAUAUAAAAUUAAUAUGUAACCAGAGGUGUAACACCUCCGAACCGUUCUAAACAUAGGUCGACCGACCGGCACAAUCAAACAAGAACAUGACUAACCGUCCAACUCAACAUUAUGGUUUGAAAGCGCUAUGUGACGGGCUAAGGACGGUCCGAUCAGAGUCACAAAAUUUACUCCACGACUAAGACCAUUUCAUCUACUAACUCGUCCUGCUAAUUCAAGGCGUAAGGCUUUGCAACCCAUACCAAGAUUUAGCGUUUCCGUUAGAUCAAGGCCUAAGGCUUUUCAGUCCAUACCACGACCUAACGUUGUGUUAGACCGGACUAGUCAAUUAUCAGAGUACUCAUGAUGCACAUAUAAAACAAAUACUUUAUUGAUUUAAGAAAUAUUCAUACAUUGAAAUAAUUCAAGGCCGAACCUAGCCUAAUGCCAACUCGAGUCAAAUAACACAAAACGCAAUACCGUAUACAAAAUGCAUGAAAUCUACUACGGCAGUCCUAACGUCCAACUCCAAGCUAUCGGAUCAUCCUUAACUAAAGCUACCUGCAAAAACGACAACAGAGUUGGGUGAUUAACCUAAUGUUGCUCAGUGAGCUAGUAACCUCUACCCGCAACCUAGAUUCUAACCCCGACAACCCAAAAUAACAAUCAAUCUAGCCCUAGCAUGUAAUCCAAAACUAAAGCUAAACAAUCAAUCACUAGUUAACCAUAUAUACGCAUGAGUUCAAUACUCAUGUAGUGUUAGACAUUUAGAAGAUAAAAGUAUUGUUAACUGGUCGACCAACAAUCAGACAAGAACAUGAUCGGCCAAUCAAUGAUACCGUAUAGCUUUCAAUAUCCACCACUCUUCACAAGCAAUCAUUCAAACACAUACAUGCCAACGUCAGGCCUACACUAACCAAAUACACACCAAACCUAAUCUGGUAUAUGAGCCGGAAUUAGGACUUAAUGUCAGAAACCUACAAGUAAUUCAAUCAAUCGCCAAACACAACCACAAUAAUAAGACUCUAACUAACUACGACUCGGUCUAACUCAUAACACCGUAUAUCAGUGCUACACUUACUUUAGGGUUCCAUAACCUUUUACUCUAAACGACACUCUAACUCAACACUCUAACUCGACACUCUAACA